RNAcentral lists this long non-coding RNA (75409 nucleotides) under Coffea arabica (coffee). Its description in RNAcentral is "long non-coding RNA (CARA_LNC007204)". Lineage: Eukaryota; Viridiplantae; Streptophyta; Magnoliopsida; Gentianales; Rubiaceae. The record is from RNAcentral.
UGGAAGAUAUCUAUGGUUAUGGUUGAAGAAUGUUGAAGACAAAAUUGCCUUUUGCUCAUGGAGUGGUUCAUUUAGAUGUUCUUCAAUUUCUUAAACUGUGAUUGCUUUUGUAAAUGUACCUUAUGUACAAGUGAUAUUUUGGACAAAUGUUAUUUUUGUAGGCAUUAGUUGGGUAAUGUACACUUGAAUUUGGCAUUUGAGAAUGCUAUAUUAUUACCAUGUAAUCUAAUGCAAAUACUUUUGGUUAUCAAUCGUUCAUGUUUAUUUGUAUGGUUUGUUUAAAAUCAAUGAUUUAGCAAUGAUUACAGGCCAAAUUAUGACUAUUAAGCUAUUGAGAAAUUAUCUAAUGAUAAAAAAAAGUUGUCACAAAAUAAAAAUAAAAACUCCUUGUCACAACAGAGACUGUCACUAAAUCUAAGCUACAUUUGUGACAACAAUUGUUGUCAGUAAAAUAGUUAUAUACAAUGGCUUUCGGUGCUUUUUAGUGACGACCUUAAGUAGAGCAUUUUUAACAAAAGGUCAAUUCGUCAAUAAAACACUUCCGGAUUGUUGUCACUAAUGACAACUAUUUAGUGACGACAUUUCAGGUCGUCACUAAAUAGUUGUCAUUAGUGACGACAAUCUGGAAGUGUUUUAUUGACGACUUGAUCUUUUGUCAAAAAUGCUCUACUUAAAGUCGUCACUAAUGACAACUAUUUAGUGACGACAUUUUAGGUCGUCACUGUUUACUUUUACCGACGGGGAUUUAGUGACGACUUUGUGACGAUCAAAAAGUCGUCAAUAAAAGGUAUUUGUGACGAUAUUUGUAUGUUCUGUGAUGACUUUGUGUUGUCACUGAUGAACAAUUUUCUUGUAGUGUUUGUCGACAUGGAAGAUCUAUUUACACAAGGCAAAGAUAUAGUUAAAUGGGAUAGCAAAAGAGCGCGUUUACAAAAGAAGUGUGCUUUGAUAACCACAAUAUAAAAGGCACGUGCAAGAGAGCAUUCCAGGAUGACAAAAGUUGAUGACAAAAGUUGAAGAGUCUCAAGGUUCUGUUGUCUAUACAUUAAGAAAAAUUACUUGCAUGUAUUGAAUCGAAAAACUUUUUGCACACAAUGGAAGCCAAAGUUACUAUAGCACUAACGAUUACCCUUUUGCCAAUCCUUGAUGAGCCAUAGUUUUAUAACGUGGAAUAUAAAAAAUAACUCCAUAAUCAAAGAGUCAUCUAUAAAAGAUAUGAGUAACUAGCAAAUUAGCUAUUUUUCCUUAUAGAUUUUACCACUUUGUUAAUUUUCCUACAGCAUAUAGCCAUAGAAAUUGUUGAUCAACUACAAUUUCCAAAAGCUUAGCACCUAAAUAGAAUAAAAUAAAAUUCUAAUUGGUGUACCAAAAAUAUAAAUCCAAAAAUAUAAAUAAUCAAGAGUUCAUAUUCAAUGAAACUAAACUAAAAGGACACUCAUAGUGACAAUUUAUGAACAUAAUUCAGAGAUGGCAAUCAAACAACAAUCACCAAAUUAAAGGUAAUAAAUGAAUUCAUCAUAUGAUAAAACCAAAAUUUAUGUUCUAAAGUUUACUUUCACAUUAAACCAAUUACAGUCCUUACUGUUGCUAUUGAAGGUAUAUAACACAGUGAUUAAUGUCAACAAGUAACAAAGAACCUCUCACUUAUACUUAAAAUUUGAAUCCACAAAUAAAAAAAUAAGCCAAUCAAAAAUUUUUAUAAGGUUUUAAAGUAACAUAGCAGCGCAGCCGUGUAGACAAGUAAAAUGCUGCGAAAGGGAAAAAAUAAAUAAAAUAAAGUAAAAUAAAAUAAAUUAAAAGCAUAAUGACCAUAGUCAUUUUCAUCUAAUGAAGUGAAAAUUGGUAAAUCUUGCUAAUUGUUUGAUACAUAUUUUGGUCAUCAGGGUUUUAUACUACAUAUUCUAAUCCCGAGUCUUCACAACCAAUAUUGUGUCUCAAUUUUGUCUCUAUUCAUAAAACAUCCCAACUUUUUCUUACUCUUUCCAUGUUACAACUCCAUAUACAGCAAAUUUAAAAAAAUAAGUCAAGCCAUACUUCCUUUCUUUGUUAGGGACAAGGCAAGAGAGGCAGGGGUCAAAAUCAAUAAUAUAGACUCACACAAUAUCUUUAAAAAUGAAGAACUAUAUUACAAUUCAUAAAGAAAUUCUGUCCAAAAGAAAGCAUGAAUACUCUUUUGAGCAUAUAUUGUAGUACCACAAAGAAUCUAAAAAUUACUAAAAGUUUUCCAACUUAAAAUUUACUUAUGGAUCAAAUUUGACAUUAUGUUGCAAGUAGAGAAGUACCCUACAAAACUUCAUCCUUAUACAUCUACAACAAAUAUCAAGAUACAUAGGGAAGUAAUCAAAAAAAAGGAAAAAGAAAAAAGUUUCAUGGUAAGAGCCGUGAUACAGAAACUAGUCGAAGCGUAGCAAAAAUAUAGAAAAAAUAAAACAUAUGCAAUAUGCAAAACUUCUUAAUCAUCUUAAGAUCGAAAAGAUCUAAGGUAUAAAGAAACAGAUAUGGAGCACAAACAAGAAGAUGAAAAGAUACUCCUAAAUGGUGAGAAAUAAAGAGAGAGACAAAUGGUUAGAUGGAGAGAGAAGAAGAGACAAAUGCUUCCCUCGAGCCUUGAUUAAUGGGAUGAUGCAGACUUUUGGUUUCUUAAAAUUCUAUUCCAAAUUAUGAUUUGAAUGAGAUCCAAAAAAAGUAAUGUGCUACUCACAUAAGAAAAGGAGGAUGACCAAACUUGAGCCCCUUCCUAUGCCACGUCAGUAGACGACCAAAUUUUCAAUAGGUCUCUAGCCACUUUUAUUCAUAUGUUAAUAAGUGUGGAAUAGCCUUUUGAGUUUAUUGCUUACGUUAAAUCUAGCAAACAAGAUAAGAUAUAAAUAUAUAUAUACACACACACACACACAUACAUAUACAUACAUACAUAAAAUGUUUCCAUCCUUUAUUGAGAUCUAGUCACAUAGUUGCUUAAAAGGUCUCCAAUAUGAUAUACUAUUAUUAUUUUAUACAAGAUCUCUUUAAUUCAUAUUUAAGGUAAAUUUAAAUCUUUGCAUGGGUUUAUUGUAGUAAAUCCUGUGGUGUGAGUUACAAUAUACCUUUUAAUUUAAUUUUUGUGCCACUUAAGUUAUUCUAUUAGUGUCCCUAAGAUCCAACUUACAUUAAACUUAAUUGUAAGGUUUCUUAUUAACUUUCAAGCCCUCACCCUUAGUCUUUUCCCUUGCAAGUCUUGAAGUCACUCAUGAACUAAAAAAAAAAAAAAAUCUUCUAUUAGUUCACAUCCACAUUUGAUUGUGAAAUGAUGUUUGAAUGUUGAAUAUUCCCCUGCUAACUUUUGGCAUUAGAUAAAAUUUACCGUCAUAAACUAUCAUUGAUUUUGUUUUUCUUUUUUUGCUCUUCUUUUUCUUUUUUAUUUUUUUAGUUCUCUUCCUUUAUCUUUUUUUUAAUCUCAUUGUCCAAUUCCCUCUUGCCACUUCCAAACUAUCAUAUUAUAACCAAUAAUUUUUCAAUCAAAUGCUCUAAUUUUAUACAUGUACUUAAAUAUUCUAAUUUUUAGACACGUGCUUGGUGACAUAAACCAUGAAUUAACAGUAAAGUACAACAAAACUAAUACAACAUUUUGUGAUUAAUUAUUAUUAAUAAAAAUUAACAAAUACAAAUACACAACAAACUAAAAAGAAUGAGUCAUAAAAACUUUAAACUACUUGGACAAAUUUAUAGCAAUUAAUGCUUGUGAUUAAUUAAUUAUUAAUAGUAAUAAGUUCAUUAGCUUGUUAAGACAAAAAGAGGACAACAAGAGAAUGGAAAGGAAAAAUAGAAAGAAAGAGAGGGAAAAGAAAUGAAAUGAAGAAGAAAAGGAAAAAAAUAAAUAAAUAAAUAGAAGAAGUAAAAAUGUAAAGGCCAUUUUGUUGGAAAAAAUUUAAACUACUUACAAAGUUCUUUUGAGAGGGGCUAUAAAGUGGCACUAGAAUGAUAAUUUAUGGGAUUAAAUUGCAAAUAACACCAACCUCUUCCACUGACAUUUUUGAGAAAAAGAUCUGAAUCUCCUUACUAAGAGUACUUUUGCCUUCUAAUUGCUAAAUGAAAUAUUUUCUUUCACUAAGCAGUUAGCAAAUAACAUGUAUAUACAAGCUAUGAUAUUAGCAAAAAACAUGCAUACAUAAAUAUACUUUGAUAUUAGCAAAUAACAUCUUACAUAUAUAAGAGCAUCCAAGACCUUGAUGAACAUUGAAUCUUUUGUCCACUUUUCUGCAAUUUUGUGAUCUUUGGAGGGUGUUUUCAGUAUUUUGCUUGGUUAAAUAGGGGGUUUUUGGUUAGAUUGGUUUAUGAUUAGGAAAGUUUGUGAAGAUAGUAUGAAAAAUUUGUCUCACUUUGAACGGUGCUUUGCUACCUAUUUGAUGUGGAGCUUAGUGAAAGUUGCCUAACUUUUAUCAAAAAUAGAGAACCACGUUGACAUUAAGUUGAUGUAUAUGUUCAUGAGAUGGCUUUAUGUUGUAUUGCUCCACCACAAUCACUAAAGUUUUGAUGUUCUCUUACAAAGUUUCUUGACUUCUCUUCUUCCUCAUCUUGUUUCACCAUUUUCAACAUCCUCUCGCAUUGCAAGUUCCCUAAGAAGUAGCUUAUUAAAAUCAUUUAGGUUCAAGUGGAAGCUAGAGAGGAGAGAAAGCAGAGUGGUGGUUAAGUGUAAAGGUUAGGUGCUAUGGUUGAAAAGGGUUGUUUGGACAACUUUGUAUUCUACUUCUGAUGGGUUUGUAUUUGAGUGUGGCCUGGUUUGUGAAGUUUGGAGAUUGUAUAUGGUUAUCGAAAGUUGAUAACUUUAAAAAAUUGCAUAAAAGCUGCCUACUGGACUUAAUUGUUUAGAGUCUUUAUAACCACAAGGAUGUUUUUCUUCAAGAAUUUGUGAGGUGAUGUUAUCUAAAUUUUUCCAUUUCUAUUAUCAUAGCAUUUGGAGCUCUAUCAUAUGUAGGUUCUUAAAAAAUCAAUAUUUGGUUAUUUGUGAUAUGCUUUGCUAUUCAAUGUCUCAUGCUUGGAGAUAAAGUGAAUGCAAAGUUAGUAUUUUUGCUUUAAUUUUCUUAUUUAUGCAUCACUACUGGCAAUUUGCUUUUGAAGUCGUAUCAUUGUUCUUCAAAUUUUUUUUAGUUGAGUUGAUUUGAAUUUUUCUUUCUCACAGCAAUGCAAGUGAUGCCCUUGACAAGUUGAGGUUUUUAAGUAUGAUUGAGUUUGGUCUUCUUAGGGAUGCUAGUGACCUAGAAAUUCACAACAAACCUGAUCCUAACAAUGGGGCCAUCACUAUAAGUUAAUGAUGGUUAGAAAUUAUUUAUUUUAUUAAUUUGUAUUCAAGUCAAUUGAAAUGUUCACCAAAGUUUUCUCCUAUUUAGGGGAAAGUGGAAUUGGGAUGACCAAAAAUGAGCUUACAGACUAUCUUGAAACUAUUGUCUAGAAUUGUACUUCCAAGUUAUUGAAAGCUCUUAAGGUACUUGGAAGUAUUUGUUCAAAUUAGAUGUUUUGGCAUUCCAAUGUAAUAAUGUGUGUAAAUUAUCUUGUUCAAUCUAAAAUUUGUACUCUCUCUUAUUAUCAAGAAAAUGAGGAUGUUGGAGUGGACAACAAUUGAAUUGGUCAAUUGAAAUUGGUUUCUAUGUUGCAUUUUUGGUAGCUGAAAAGAUAUAGUAUCUUUUGUCUCAUUUAGUUCUAGUCAAUUCCAAGUUUAUAGAUUGGCUUCUUUAAUUUGUUUCUUGUCCUCACAUAACUUUUAUGUGUUUAUAAUUUGUGUCAUCAGGUGGUAGUUGUCGGAAUUUUAGUCUGGACUACAUGACUACAAGUAAUGUUCUAAUAUUUAUCAAUUCUCUCACUAAUGUUCUAAUAUUUAUCAAUUGUCUCACUAGCUUAUAUGGGAUAAAUAAAUACGUAAAUAGAUUUAUAUUGAUAGUUAUAGAGUUUUGAGGAUAAACAAUUAGAGAAAGUAGGGAGUCCUAUAUUCAUUGUAUGUAGAUGUAUUAUCUAAUAAUUAUUGUGAUACUUUAUUGAUAAUUAUAGUGAUUAUUAAGUUGUAUCUUAUCACAAAUAAAGUAUGAUCUAUCUAAAGACUACUAGAGUCUAUCAUUAUCCUAUGAUAGGAGGGAUUAUAGACUAUAAUAUCCCAAGGUCUCCUGAUCCCUCUUAACACUUUGAUAUACAUUGUUUUACCUAUCACAAAAUAAUAUAACAAAAGAAUUAGGUGAGAGAAGACUAGAUAAGUUUAGGUUUAUAGAUUACAACCUUGGUGAUUGAAAGUUUGGUGAUUAAAGGUUGUGUAGUUCUUCCCGAAGAAUGUCUUCGAUGUCUUAGGGUAUGUCAGUCUGACAUUUGCUACUAAAUUUGAUUUACAAACCAUACCAAUGAUUCUACUCUUAAGUCUAACAAUUGGUAUUAGAGCAAGGAUUAAUGUUUAUGAUUUGUAAAUUGGUUUAUAUGAACAUCAACUAUUGGUAUUAUUGAUGCUAUUUUAUAGAACCAAUCUUACACAAUGUGGAUGUCAUUGAUACAUGAAUUUUGUUUUACCAUAUAUACUUCAAAUUAUUUAAUUAGUGUCAUUGUGCCAUAAUCUUGUUAGUUAAGAGAACAAUCACAAGUUUGUUAAUGGCUUUUAACCUAUUGAAGAUGAAAUUGAGAUGGUUAAAAAUUUACUAAAGGUUAAUAGUAUCCUGGCAUUUUGGAGGUUUAAUGUGUUUUGGUAUCCAAAAUGUGUGUAUGUUAGUAAGAAUCUUCUUAUUAACAUUCGGUGGUAUAUGUACUUUUAACUUCUGUUGUGUACAUGUUUUGAAUUCAUUAAUUUGUUAUAUCAUAUUCUAGUUCAAGACCAUUAUAUAAGUUUGACUAGUUAUAUAUUAAAAUUUACACACACAGCUAUUAACAUGCAAGGUUCAAAUUUAUGUUAUUGCUUUUGAACUAUGGGUAAAUUCACAACUUAAGAUUGUGAAUUGUUAAACAUAUGUAUUUUAAUCACUAUAAAUCUUUUAUAUGUUUUAUUAUAUUAAAGAUAAUGAUUAUGAUGGAACUAUGUUCUAUAAAUGUAUUCAAGGUUUUAGGCAUUGCAUGAACACUUGUGUUAUUAGUUUAUUACACUCAUCCCUAUUAUGGCCUUUAAUGGUAUUUGCGUUAUUAUUAAUUUGGGACUUGUGUAAUUUAUUGACAACUGAUUUGUCUAGACUAAACUUAUAUUGUGAAUUUAAACACCAGAUUUAAUAAUCAAACUCAUGAUAAAAUCCUAGUGUAUUGAAAAAUGAUUAUAAGUCUUAUUUAUGUUCCAUCAUUAAAAGGGAUUAUGUUUAUGCAAUAUUUUAGAAACAUAUAAUGGAAUUAAGUAAUAUUCCUAAAUAACUUAAUGGUAUGGAUAUGACUAUAUUUGAGUCAUUUCUGGUGCAAUUUAUCAUCAACUCUUUUCAUCCACAAUUUGUUCCUUUCAAAAUUAAUUAUAAUACUCAAAAAGUUAAGUGAAAUGUUUCUCAACUUAUCUCUAUGUGUCACAAAGAGGAAGAGACAUUGAAAAGGGAAGGAUUGCAGACUCAAACUGUGCAUAUAAUAUCACAACGUCAUAAUGCAAAUAGACCUAAAAAAAGUAAAAGGAAAAAUCAUACAUCCAAUCAUAAAGAUUUUGGUGGGCAAUGCCAUUUGUACAAGAAGAAGGGACAUAUGUAGAAAGAUUGUGUGAAAUGCAAGACACGGUUUCAAAAGAAAGUAAUUUUUUUUCAUUUGUUUCUUCUGAAACCAAUUUGGUUGAUUUCUUUCUAAUAUUUAAUAGUUUGACUAUGAUGCAACUAUUCGCAUUUCUAAUAAUAUGCGGAGAUACCUUACAACCUACCAAGGGAAAAGAAUACUAGUAGAGAACAAGAUGGGAAUAAAAGUUAAAACCAUUGGAAUCUGUUGACUUGUUCUACAUUCUGGCAUUUUAUUAGAUCUUUCAAAUACUUGUUAUAUUCCUAAUUUUUUAGAUAUUUGAUUUCCUUGUCUCCUCUUGAUUUAGAUGGUUAUAAAUUUUAGCUUGGGGACCAUUUUUUUAUGUCUAAAAAUAAUAGUGAGUGUGUUUGGAUAGUAGAUUAUUUGGAAUAAUUAUUUGUUGACUUUUUGAAAUGUAGGGGUGAAAGAUAAUCGUUUGGACAGCAUGAAUAUAUUUCAAAUAGGUGUUUGGAUAACCUAACAAUUAUUUAGUGCAAUAGGAAACUCAUUCCAUCCCAUCACACGGACAUUUACUGUUGCAAAUAAAAUAAACAUUCAAUCAUGGUAAAAGCCAGUCAUAGCAAUACAAACCACGCUGCUUUACGGAUAUUACAUGGAACAUCCUAAGCUUAUCUAGGAUUAUCCAUUGUCUAAUGGACACACCAUAGUGGGAUAGUUGUUUAUUCAUACACAAUCUAAAUUUGCUUGGCAACCAUUUUAUUUUUUCAAACACAAAUAUAACUUAAUGCCCCUGAUGAAACGCAGUUUACUAGUAGGUAGGUCCGAGUUACACUCCUCACUGUCUAGCGCCUUCUCCUACAUUGCAUGCCAUACAUUUCAAUUGCAAUCGCAUCCUGCCUAGCCUUCCAAACCAUAAUCUUAGCUCGGGAUGCAUUCAAUGGCUAAAUGUUUGCCCUCUCAACGCCCCUAUUGGUGUUCUAAUCCAACAUUACCCUCCUCGUAUAGUUGAAAGUGGGCAUCGCCUGGUUGAUGUAAGCGAAGAAAGUUGUCCAAUGCACAGCAAGCUAUAACGACACUAAGUUGAGUCGUCAUGUAAAAAUUUGGAACCGGUCCCUUUAAAAAUUUAAAUUUGUUCUUCAACACUCCAAAGGUUCGUUCAAUGACAUUUCUAAGCUCCGAGUGGCGCAUAUUAAAUAAAGCUUUUUCUGGACCACCCGUGCUGCAUUCUUAUAUGGCGGUAAGAAUCCUGGAACAUUCUUAUAUACAGCAUCUACAAGGUAGUAUUUACCUUAAAUGUAGACAGUUAGGUGUCAGUUUCCAAUGACUGUAGAAUUUUUAAGCAAAAGUUAUAGUACUUUAAAUGUUUAAAUAUUUUACUAUAAUACUAGUACUUCAAAAAAAUAGUAUUUAAAUAAGUACUUCAAAAAACUUGUGGCUUUAAAGCAUUUUGAAUUCUAAAACAGAAACCCAUCUCGAAGCAAAAGUUAUAGUACUUUAAAUGUACUAUUGUUUGACUGUAGUACUUUAAAUGUUUAAAAUACUUCAAAAAAAUAGUACUUAAAUUAGUACUAUCAAACUAUAUACUUUAACGUACUUUCAAGUACUUUAACAGCAAUUUUUCUAAGCGUACUUUACAAAACAUUUUACAUUGAGGAGGCAUUGGGAAGUUUGAUGGGUGUGACAGAGCACAUCCAACACUCGGGCAUCAUGUGCACCUCCCUCUCACCCAGCAUAUAUGUACGUGAAUCACAUGUCGAAAUCACAAACUACCAGAAGAUUUUGCGACCUGAGGCCGAGCACGCAGGAAUGUGAGUGCCAUCGAUGGCUCCCACUGCAUCCUGCAUUUUCCAACUAUUAAAAUUACAUUUGCUCUCUUAUAAUGGCUUGUGUUCGGAUAAAAGAACUUGCAAAUAUUUGCUUAUUAUUUUGGCAGACAUGGCUUAACCUUGAACCACAAGAAGUAUUUUGUCGAAUUUCCGAUUCUUGAAUGUACCUAAUCGUAGUCAAACAGGUGAAUUAUUUGAGAAGCAAACAUACAAAGACCGCGCAGAACUUUCCUUGCAUUUCGGUUAAUUGUCUCUAUUGAUCCAUUGAAACGCUCUGCCAAAACUCACUGGUGGGCACUAUGACUUACCAAAAACCAAAGUCAUGGCCAGUGCUUCUUCGAUUUCGACUCGUUUUUUUAUAGUUUUGAGGUACAUAAUUAUUGUACUUCAGUAUGUAACAAAGUAGGAGGAAAUUGUCAACCAAAAUAUGACAAUUCUCGAUUAUUCGUUUGUAGUGACUAUUGAUCAAGUCUUCAACCCAUUGGCGCCCUGACAAUGAGCCAUCAUGGUGUGGAAUUUUGAGUUUCGGUCCUCUGUACCUUUCUACGUCUAGAUGUAAAAGUAUCAACUCUGCUGCAAGUGCAACUAGCAAGUCGUCCUCCUCAUCGUCAGAUGUUAGGUCAUUGCUUAAGCUAUAAGUGCCACUACUGUAUUCAUCACAAUCCAUAUCCUCUACAAUAAGUGCACAACAAGAGAGUUUUUCGUACAAUUUUUCAAGAAAGAAAAUAAAAUGUCAACCAAACCUUGAACUCACCUACUUGGCUUUCUCCUUCGAUGAAUCGGAGCCUUGUCCAAGAGGCAGUCCUCCUUAACUCUUUCCCCUAAAGCACAAUAAUUCUGUGCUUUGAAACAUAUGCAAGGACACUAUAAUAUAGAGCUCUAAGGAGCAGAUAUUUUUUUGGGGCACGGGCGCACUGUUUCCUUCUACUCGGGUCCUUGUUGACAGGGGCCACCACCUUAGAAAUGCAAGUCCCAACUUGUUUUCGCAAUGUCAUCCUUCAAACAUUGGAUUCCAUUAGUUGUUCCCUAUGCCACAACUGAGCACUGUCAAACUUGAGCACUGUGCCUGGCUGCAACUGAUAAAAUGACUCGUAUUUUCAAAAAAGUUGAUGAGUCCUUAUAUGUUAGAUGCACUCUUGAGGCUAACAUCACACAAUAGAGACAUGACUAUAUUUCCACAAUGCACUACCGGUUUGAUGCCAUUUAAACAAUUCCAAUUAAUGUAUUAUGAACAAUUGCACCCGAUGUAAUGCUAUUCUAACAAAAAAGUAUUCGAACGUUUUUGCUAAUUCAGUUGUGGGAUAACUUUGUGGCCUUGCCAAUUUAAAAACAAGCAAUCAUGGCCAUGGGUUGUUGCGACCAAUUUCACAAUUGCACCUGCACCAUUAGUUAUUUCAAACGUAGAACGAAAAACCUUCCUCUAAAUAAAGUCACACACCAAUGCCACCCAUUUGUAAAACUAGAUAAUUCCCACAAAUAAGUUUCUACGAAGAAGUAAAGAACUAGUAUCGAACACUCAACCAACCGCCCCGAUUCGAGUAGACCAAAUGCUACAAUUAAGAAUUAAGUCAAGAAGCAACCAAGAGGUAGUUCAAGUAAAGUUCAGCAUAGGAAUUGAAUUUUGAAAAUUACAAAGCAAAUUGACACAAGUCCAAUUUCGGCAGGUAUGGACAAACACUCUUCGGCCUUUUCCUCCAACUCCUUAUCCACAUAUACGCACACUCUGGGUAUGCCACUACCAAACUCUUCCAUAAUGAGUUCAAUAUAAUCAUAGCGCUUGGUUUCAUCAAAGCGUACGAAUGCAAUUCUUUGUCUCCCAUUUUUUUUCGAGCAAAGUACAUGGAAGCUUUCAACUUAACCGAUUUUGGAAGUUGCAUGUGCUUCAUGAUGUCCUACACUACCGGUACACUGUACUUUGCUUCCUCUUCGUACCUAUUGUGCUUUGUCUCCAUGGAAGCGGUGGUGAUGCGAAAGAUUUUGCUGAUUACAUCAUUUAAUCUUUCCCUAUCACUAGACAAUCUUGUUGAUUUAGCAUCUCUAGAUCCCUCACGAUCACUAGUAGUGCCAAGACUUGAGGCGGGAGGCUUUCCAGGGGCCAUUCUUGGUACCGGAGGUACGUAGUAUACAUACUCUCCUUCCCAAGGGUAAUGGUGGUAGCCAGGGGCCGCUGAAAUUGAGAUUGGAGCCUUUCCUUUGCUCUUUUGUAGCAUUCCAAUAAGUGGCCGCCGUUGUUCAUCCUCGGGGACCAGUUGACUUGCGGACUGGGCAUAGUUGCCUAUUGUAGUUUUUUUCAAAGUUGUUUGAGUAUAAAUAUCAUUUAGGAAGCAGCUUCCGGGAGUUUUGAAGUUUUUGUAGUCUUUGUUUACCUUAAAAUUGAAGACCUAUAAGUUAGUUAAUGGCCAACCAAUAAAUGUCAAACACUUAGGAGGAAUGUACAUCGAUGUAAUAUCGAAUAAUGGGCUAGAAACUGGUCAUUUUGCAGCUUCAGACAUUACAAAAAUGGCUGGAAUAAAAAUAAGUAUUGGAAAGCAUACACGUUUAUUUGAACAACUUUAGUAAAAGCAAUUGAGGAUGUAUUUCAUGUUGAGCAAGUACGAUAUACAAAUGAAGGCUGAGCAGGGAGAAAGGAAUGCAAACAUAUGCUCGCAUACCGCUUCCAUUUGGGCCCAGUGCUCAUCGCUGGCCAUGAAACAGUUACUUUCUUCAUCUCAACCAAUCCCAGUCUCGGGUUUAGAAGGCAAACCACGACGAUUGGAAAACACAUUCCAUUUCUUCUUGAACCUCUACAAUCUUGACUGGCACUGGCCUCUGGUGACUUGUAUUUCAAAAUGUUCCCUCAAAUAUACGGCCAGCAUAUUGUAAUUCUAGUCAUUUGUCUUGUGAUUGUCCCAUUUUUUGUUUGCUUCCAAUCAACAUAUGUGGUGAUGAAGUUGAAAUCCAUGGUAGAAGUCCGUUGCAAUUUCUCAUUCAUUUGCCGCAUAUAAGAGCAGAAAUUUGGCCAUUGUUAUGCACAUCGGCAUGUAAAUGUCACUAGUUUGAACCCAAAAAAAAAAACAGAAUAUCAUAAAAGUUCUCAGUGCUUUACAUGCUGAUUGUAGUUGUCUAUAUACAGUUAGUAGUUAUUUGAACCACUGGAUGAGUUGGAAGAGCAAUAGGAUGUGCAGCUAGUAGGAGAGGCUUCAAAUCGCAAAAUUUGUUUAGUAAUACACCAUGAAUGAAUAUAUGACACUGAUAAAGGUUAGAGGGAUUUACAAAGGGAGUCAAUUUUGCACUUAGCUAUGUUCAUGGGUUGAAUGACUAAUGCAUUGCAAGCCAAACAAGUGUAGAUUCAACAAAUACAACGGAGUUUAAAAUACCUAUAAGGAAAACAGGUGCAACAGUGCUACCACAAAUAACUUGAGAAGUACUAAUUACUGGACUCUAGAACCAGUUAAGAUAACAAUUUUUGUAAUAUCAACAUUGCAUAUCCGUCUUUUGAACAAAGUCACACACCAAUAGCUGUUCAAGCUUAAGAAUGUAUAGAACAAAGGAAGAUUAUUUUUAAAUCCAUGGACAACUUUUUUGUUAUGAGUGUAAGCACAAAUGGAUGAAUAAAGUGUUACACAUAUUGGAACAGUCAUAUAAUUAAGUAAACAAAUGCGUGACUUAGUGCUUUUUCAAUUUCAGUUAAGUUAGGAAUUUUAACUUAAAUGUACAGGGACAAAUAUAUAAAUCUGAAAUAUUUUUUUUAAAAAAUUGUAUGAUAGUGCUAUUACCAAACCAAUAGAUAAUUGUUGCAUCUAUAUUUUCAGCCCUAUAAAUGUAAUUUAUGAGUUUGUCGUCUCUUAAUUUGUGCUUAAAAUUAUAGCAUACUAAGCGCAAAUAAGAGUGAAAUUACAAACAGUCAUGGUCAUCCCAAUCACAUCCAUUUACAGUUUAAAUAAUUACCACUACAGAGUAGCCUUCAAUUUAUAAAAAAUUUAGACAAGCAAACAAACCCUGGUUCUGGAGAUAAAAAACAGAGCAGCAAUAUACAACUUAUAAUCAUGUCUUAAUAACUGUGCAAAAAUGGAAUAUAGUGUGCAAUUCAUACAAUUGACCAACUCAAUACAACCAUACCGCAACAAAAGAUAGAGGUAUUAGUGGAUUGCUAUAGGUUUGCCAAGAAUACAUCAUCAAAAUAAUAACACAUAACAACUCUUUCAUGGACCAUUGGGUUGGCAUUAGUUGGAUAAAAAGUUAAAUUCCAGUGAAGCUAAAAAAAUUCCUCUUGGCAGGUGUAGAAGGGGAAGACAUGUUGACAACGGAAAAAUUAAAAUUGAAAGAACAAGGAAAUACCUUGGAUGUCACCAAAAUUUGUCACUGAUAAACUCUUAUUUACCUCUGUAGAUUAGCCUGGAGUCACGGAUGAAGGCAGCACGAUUUCUAACUCAUCAAUAGUUUGCCGUGAAUCCUACAAAUAAGUUGUUCGUUCGACACCAUGCCCUUGCCUAGGCCCCAAUGGGAUGAGAUGUAGAUCUGGUUUGUGAUUAUUUGGUGGAGAGAGACGAGGAAAUUUGAAGAGUAAAAGCGAAGGUCGGGUGGUUGGCUAACAUGAGUAAAGCCUUGUGCAGCUUUGUCGACUUAAACAAAGGGCAGACAGAAAAGGACAAAAUUAACAGCUAGUAAUUUUGAGCCGUUCAUCUAAUAUGUACGUGGAAUGAAACUACACCAUGCUACUUGCGUGGAAAGAGUAGAGAUAAAAUUAGCCCAAAAUACAUUUGCUGUUCUAUUUAACCUAUCCAAACAGGUAUAGGUGCAUUAUCACUAAUAAAUUCAAAUUUUAGCCGGCCAAACGUACUCAGUUUUAUUUUUGGUGGAUUUUUAGUUGAUGGAUUGUAUAAAAUAAAUCUCGAUCCUACUUUUUCACAAUCCCUUUCCCUGCUUAUGAAUAUUAAUGUUUGUACCAAAAGCAGUCAGAAUAAUAAAAUUUCAUCAUUGCUGUGGCAUAAACGUUUAAGUCAUAUAUCUAAAGAUCGGCUUGAGCGGCUUGUAAAAGAUGAAAUUUUACCAACUGUUGAUUUUAUAAAUUUAGGUACUUAUAUAGAUUGCAUUAAGGGCAAGCAAACUAAAAGUACCAUGAAAAAAGCCACUACAAGUUUAGGGUUGUUUGAAGAGAUACAUACAGAUAUUUAUGGGUCCUUUCUUCAUUGUAUAAGUGGUGAAAAAAACUUUACCACCCUUAUUGAUAAUUUUUGACGUUCUGACUAUCUUUAUCUAAUUAAGGAAAAUUUUGAUGCAUUGUAUAUGUUUCAAAAUUUUAAGGUAGAGGCUGAAAAUCAAUUAGAUACGGAAAUAAAAGUUAUAAGAUUUGAUAGGGAUGGUGAGUAUUAUCGUAAAUAUGAUGAAACUGAUUAUAGUUUAGGACCAUUUGUUAGAUUUCUUCAUAAUAAUAAAAUUAUUGCUCAAUAUACUAUACCUUGGAUGCCACAGUAGAAUGGUGUAGCUUAAAGGCAUAAUCGAAUCUUACUAGGUAUGGCUCAAAACAUGGUUAGUGACACAACUCUUUCUAAACUUUUGUACAACGAAACCCUUAGGACUACCAUGUAUAUUUUGAAAUCCCUUAUGAACUAUGGCUUGGUAGGAAACUGAUUUUAAAUCAUGUAUAUGUUGGGGUUGUUCAACUAAAGCAAAAAGAUAUAUAAUCCAUAUGAAAGAAAAUUGGAUCCAAAGACCAUUAGUUGUUAUUUUAUUGGUGAUCUAGAAAGGUCUAAAGGUUAUCAAUUCUAUUGUCCUAAUCAUUAUAAUAGAAUAAUGAAAUUGAAUAAUGAUAGAUUUCUUGAAAAUGAGAAUUUUAGUAAGAGUGUGAUAAAAAGGAUUUGGAGUCAAUUCUAGAAUCAAAGGAAAUUUUUAAAACAUCACAUCCUGACGACAAUAACGAUGCCAUUAUUUUCACAUAUACAUGAUCUAAUGAUCACCAGAUUCUAUAGAAUUCAAAUAUAACAAAAACCAAUGCAGUUUCAUAUGACUAUUUUAGUGUAUCUACAAGUUGGCAUAGAUUAAUAUCUAUUGACCUUUUUACAAGCCAUAUGUAGUAGUGCAUCAAAUGAAUAUAAGGAUGUUAUGGAAAAUGAAAUGGCACCUAUGCAGGCUAAUUAAGAUUGAAAACUGGAUGAAUUGCCUAAGGGUGUCAUACCUAUUCAAUGUAAAUAGAUAUUUAAAACCAAACAAGACUCAAAAGAUAAUAUUAACCAUUACAAAGACUGAUCAAUAGCCAAAGGGUUCACUCAAAGAGAAGGUAUAGACUAUAAUGAAACAUUCUUUCCAAUAUCCCAAAAAGGAUUUGUUACUUCACUAUAAUUUAGAGCUACAUCAAAUGGACAUAAAAAUGACAUUCUUGAAUGAAAAUCUAAAUGAAAUUGGAAGGGUUUGAGGAGGAAGGUAAAGAAUAGUUAGUAUGUAAGUUCAAAAGAUCCAUAUAUAGACUUAAAUAGGUAUCCUGCCAAUGGUAUCUUAAGUUUCAUGAUACCAUUACAUUCUUUGAAUUUCAAGAAAAUAAACUUGAUAGUUGUGUAUAUCUAAAAGUUAGUAGGAGCAAAUUCAUAUUUUUGAUCUUGUAUAUUGAUGAUGUACUGCUUGAUACUAAUGCAUUAAGUUUAUUAUGUGAAACUAAAAGGUUUCUUUUUGAGAACUUUGAAAUGAAAGAUAUUAGGAUGCAUCUUUUGUAUUUGGCAGUGAUAGCAGCAUAGAUAGAUCUCAGAAAAUUCUUGGCUUAUCUCAAAAAUCUUAUAUAACAAAAGUUCUUGAAAGGUUCCAAAUACAAACCUAUUGAACAACCCCAUACCCCAAUAUUAAGGGUGAUAAUUUGAGUCAAAUUUAGUGUUCUCAAAAUGAUAUUGAGAGAAGUGAAAUGGAAGCAGUACCAUAUGUCUUGGCUGUAGGAAGCUUAUUGUAUGCUCAAAUUUGUAUGUACCUUGCUAUAAGUUUGUAGUUGGAAUGCUUGAAAAAUUUUAAAAUAAUCUAGGAUCUGAUCAUUGGCUUGUAGCUAAAAAAGUGUUGCAACAUCUUUAAGGUAUCAAAGAUUUAAUACUUACCUAUAAGCACAGUGAUCAGUUUGAAAUUGUUGGGUACUAGGAUUCGAAUUUUAUAGGAUAUGUUAAUAGUAUGAAAUCUACUUCUGGAUAAGUUUUGAUACUUUUCGGUAGAGUUGUAUGAUGGAAAAGUGUGAAAUAAAUUAUAAUUUCUUCUUUCACAAUAGAAGCAAACUUUAUAACUUGUCAUGAGGCUACAUCUCAAGCCAUUUGAUUGUGAAAUUUUAUUUAAGAAUUUUAGACUGUGAAUUUUAUAUCCUGGCCUACUAUGACAUAUUAUGAUAAAUCUACAGCUAUAUUUUUCUCAAAAAAUAACAAGUGCUCUAGUAAAUUUAAAGACAUUGAAUUGAAAUUUCAUGUUGUUCAAGAAAAAAUUCAAUAAUUAAUCAACAUCCUCAUGUUGUAUCAUGUAUUUUUCUGUAUUUUAUGUGGUCCUGUAUUGGGCACAUUUUAAAUUUUCAAAAAUUAGGCAGAAUAGAAUAUAUAUAUAUACACCAUUAAUGAACAUUCUUGUUGUAGUUCUUCAUUUCUUCUUCAAUUAAUUAAUCAACAUCUACCUAUUAAAAUUGUGAUAUAUGGAAGGGGACAUGUUUGUCAAUUGACAUAUCAUUGCCAUAAUCUAUUUUGAUAAUAGUGUUGGAUAAAUAUAUUUUUUGUUGUGACCACUUAUUUUGUUUACUGAUUUUGUACUAUCAUAAUUUACGUGGUCAUUUAUCCAAAGGGGAGAAUGUUGGAAUAUUAUCGUGUCCUACAUGACCACAGAUAGUGUUCCAAAAUUUAUUAAUUAUCUCAUUAAUUUAUAUGAGAUAAAUAAUUACAUAAAUAGAUUUAUAUUGGUAGUUACAGAAGCCUGAGAGUAGACAAUUAGAGAAAAUAGGAAGUCCCAUAUUCGUUUUAUGUGGGCGUAUUAUUUGAUAAUUAUUAUUGUACUUUAUCUAAUAAUUAUAGUAAUUAUUAAUCUAUAUCAUAUCAUUAUGUUUAACAAACAAAGGAUGAUAUAUUUGAAAAAUAUUAGAGUCUAUAAUUAUUCCAAAAUGGGAGGGAUUACAAGCUCUAUAAAUAUCCUAUAGGUUCUUAGUCCUUCUCACCACUCUGAUAUACGUUGUUUUAUCCAUCACAAAAUAACAUAAUAGGAGAGUUAGGUAAGAAAAGACUAGAUAGUUUCAAGUUUAUAGAUUAACUUUGGUGGUUAGUGGCUUGGUGAUUAAAGGCUAUGCAGUUCUUCCUAAAGAAUAUAUUCGAUGUCUCAAGGUAUGUCAAUCUAACAUUUGCUCCUAAAUUUGAUUUAUAAAUAAUGCCAGCGAUCCUACUCUUAAGUCUAACAGUAGUCUCCACAAAAAGCCCUAGGUGAUAGUAUCAUGAUACAUGGGCAGGCCAACAAUGGCUCGAGUAAUCGAGGAGUUGAGGAUCACGUGCACGCCCUAAGUGGACCCAUUACUAGGGCUCGCGCAAAGAAACUUCGUGAGCAACUCAAUGUACUUAUUCAGGCCAUACACAAGUCUUUUGAAGGACUCAUACACUCAAGUGAAGGUGGUCGCGGUCCGAUAAUGAGCAUUGAAACUACACCUGAGGAUUAGGGUUUUUGCCAAACCCUAAUUUUCGUUUUAGCAUCAUAGUUAGUUAUUUCCACAUUAGUUGAUUAGAUUGAAUAAUUGGCUAAGUGCAUAUUGUACGUAGAAUCGCCAAGGGUAGGAUUGCUAAUUUACUCAUUAUUAUUUGCUAGAGUGGGCUGCCUAGGAAGGAAAGCCCACGUGAGGCCCAACCCGUCGGGGGCCCAUAUCCACUGCACCCUUAGUCCAUUUUCUUACUAGAUUAGGUUUUUGACUUGUAGCCUAUAUAAGGCACCAUAUUACAUCAUUAAAGAGUAGACACUUUUAUCAUACAAAAUCUAGUGUGAGAAUUUUCUCCAUAGCUUUCGAGCAACCCUUGAACAACUUAGAGUUUUACUCGAGUGUUCUUGUUUGGCUUAUCAAUUCAAGAACCACACUUGAAUUGUGGCGCCUUCUACACUUGCCUGAGGUUCGCUAAUUCGUUUGAUUACGGGUUGAGAUAAUAUCAACAAGUUCGUAGCCAUGGGGAUUAGAGGGGUUGUAGGGUUUCCACUACUACCGUUGCUUGCGUUCGAAGUCAAAUCCAACAAGUGAUCUUGGGUCGCGAAUCUUCUCACCAACGAGAUUGAUAUCAGCUGACAUCAGAGCUAGCUUGUUGGUAACAUCGUUUAUCCCUCUUUUGUGUCUUAAUUCGUGCCUUAAUUCGUAUCUGUCUCGGUAGCGCAAAAAAAAAAAAAAAUUUUUUGUGCACGUUACAUUCUGGCCGCGAGUUCCUGGCAUCGAGUUUCCUUUGUUUUCAAGUCUGGUCGUCAUUGUUUGUUUCUGUUUUGUUGUCGCCUUCAAUUUCUGGAAUUCCUAGGAGUCACUUGUGUGGUGUCUGGGUCAUUUGUGUGUUCCAUCGUUGUUAACAAAAAGAAAAAGAAAAAAAACCGCUGGUGUCUUAGUUGUCGCAUCCUUAUUGCUGUUUUCUAUUGACUCGUGGGCAAUCUGUCUGUGUCUUGUUUAUUGUUAAUUCUAUUGAGUCUUGUGCGAAAUCUGUUCGUGUCUUGCUGUCUUUGUUUCCACCGUUUGUGUCCAGCAAAUUGAGGUGUCAGUUAGUGUUGAUCAUUGUGCCAAAGACGCGCAACAAAGCAUUGAGUCGUUCAAAUUUCAGUCUUGCCGCACUUAACAUUAUCUUUUGCAUGGCCCAAUCUGACCGAAUUGUCUCUUAAUUGUUGUGCCUGUCUCUUGUUCAACAUCUUGUUGUUGUCGUCAGUAAGUCCCAACCUGAGUUAAAAAAAAAAACAAAACAAAACAAAACAGAAGCAAUACUAGAAGGGGAAAAAAAAAUUACAGCCGCAGGGACUUCCUCUUGUUUCUUCAUAGCUUGUCUUGUGGUAUUGUGCGCAAAUCUGUCCAGAAAUUUCGCUCACUAGUUGGCUCUAGUUUCUGUCCAGCUUCUGGUUUAAUGCGUGUGGGGUCUUGUGUUGUUUGAGUCAUGUCCAAACAACCCAAACAAAAAAAAAUGAGAGGGGGGUCAGUAGCUAAUCUUUCUCCUUGUUUGUUCCGCUGCUGUCCGCAAUUUCCAGGCUGUGUGCUUCGUGUCUUGCAUUCGUUUCAGAUUUGUGUCACCACGUUUUGUGCCUGGCUAUUGUUUAUUGUUGUCCGGACUCUUUGUCUUUGCUGAUUAUCGUGUCUUGCCCAGAAAACAGAAGGGAAAGAAAAAAAAAGGGGAAAGAGAGUCACAUACCUUAUUGUGUCGUUGCUGGAAUUUACUUUGUGGGGGCUGCCGAACCUGAUUUGCUUGAACCUUGAGCUUUUGUGUUGUGCCUUGCAAUCUUGGAUACCAAAAUAGAUUUUGGGCAAUUCUUGAGCUCCCUGGACGAAAGCCUUGAUGCUCUUGGAUCAACCAAGACUGAUGUGUUGAUUUUGAUCGAGGGCUUUUGAAACUUGGGAAGGAAACUUAUUUCUUUCUUGGCAAUCUUGUACCUUGAACCAGAAAAAAAAAAGAAAAAAACAAAUCAAUCAAUUCCUUGGGACUGAAUCUGAGUUCUUGAGACAUAGAUUAGAGAGCUGCAACAAAAAAAAAAAAAAGAAACAAGAGACAAGCUUGGCUCCAAGUCUCCUAGUUCGGAUACAAGUCCCGCUCUCAAAACGCCUCUACUCCUAACACCUUUUGGAUUGAGGACAGCCAAGGAAAUUCAGAAAUCAAGCCCAAGCCUUCCUAACUACCCUCAACCUUACCACAUCAGACAUUAACCAGCCGCACCACACCUUGAAUCCUAAACCGCCACCCUACAAAUCAGUUCCUAAACAAAAACCACCGCCCACUAGCACUUGUUUCCCACUUUGGCUACAGCACCUUGUGCCCCGUUGUCAGUUACUAUCAAGGGCCAACCGACCCCUUCUUGAGCACCCCACAUAGAACCAACACCUCUUAAAACCCCCAGCGUAAGCCAAGGCAGUAGUAACACGAGGUGCCAGCACGCAAGAGUCAAAAAUGUCUUGUCUAGGCUUCGUAAAGGUCAGCCCUGAGUCGUUUAUUGAGUCCAUGUAAGUCUUGAGUCACUUAGUGAGUCUUUCAUUUUCUCUCAUUCGACUGCUAAGCAUUUGGUGACCUUGGUUGGUAAGUUGACCAAGAACUCCAGCAAGGCAAAAUAAAUAAUUUCCUUGUCGGUUAGAGCCUUGAGCGUCAUUCUUAAUUUUUUUGUAGCUUUGUGUCAAGUCUUUUCCCAAUUUUUAUUCUUGAAUAUAUUCUACCACUCCAUUCUUAGUGUCUUAAUUUUGUUUUCCAAGAAAAUCUCCACUCUUACGAACCUCAAAUUCUAGAGUGAACUUGAUUUUUAAGCUAAUUUUGAGCACUUGAGGAAUUCUAAUUUCUUCAAGGUUGUGCAAGGGGCUGUGAGAAAUUGUGGUGAGCUCAUUAGAGUGAUCUGAGUGACUAUACACGAGUGUGAGAGUAUACACUUAGGGAGUGAAGUGAAAAAAAAGGAAAGGGAGACAAACGUGUCUUUCCCCUUUUUUCCCUUUCUUUGCUACUAACCCUUGCAGGUACACUUGAGACUUCAUGUCUAGUGGCAACGAAGGAGCAUCUCGUCCUAUGGAUUUUGAACAAAUGAUGGAGCAAAUGGAGAGGCGCUUCCAACGCAUGCUAGAACCCAUUCAAGAUGAGUUGCUGCAGCUCCGGGCGUCUGGAACACCAAAGACGUCUAGGUCCACGCGAAGGUGAAAGGCCGUGGAAGAAUCCGAUAGUUCCAACAAUGAUGACGAUGACGGAGAACCUCGCGUUCGCCCAAGGCAAAGGAGCCAACCUGGACCUACUGAUGUGUUCAAGGGAAUCAAGAUGCAAAUCCCUGAAUUCAAAGGACGGUCCGAUCCCGAGGUCUUUCUCGAAUGGUUAUCCAAGAUCGAAAUGGUCUUUUCUUGCCAAAAUUACAUCGAGGUGCAAAAGGUGCAAUUGGCAACCAUGAAAUUCACUGAAUACGCUGUGAUUUGGUGCGACCAAAUCAAGAAGUCUAGAAGGAGAAAUGGGAUCCCUGAACUCGUUCCAUGGCCCGAGUUUCGAGCCAUGAUGCGCACCCGCUUUGUGCCUGGACAUUACACUAGGGAUUUGUACCACCGACUACAAACUUUAGUCCAAGGCAACCGGAGUGUGGAUGAGUACCACAAAGAGAUGGAGAUCCUGAUGCUUAGAGCAGAUGUACAAGAGGACCCCGAAACCACCAUGGCCAGGUUCUUGAACGGGUUAAGACCCGAUAUUGCUGAACGAGUGGAGCUCCAACACUACAUGGAGUUGCAUGAGCUUGUCGACAAGGCCAUUAAGGUCGAGCAAAGGCUCAAGAGGAGGGGUACUAGUCGAUCGAAUUUCAGCAAUACCACCUACCCUACCAACCGGCCAUUCUAACCAUGAAAUGAUUCUCGGUCUUCAUCAAAUGCGCCUACACCCAAGCCAAGAUUUGAGGGAGGUAAGGGGGGCAAUUCUAGUGUUAGUAAACCAACCACUUCUACUCCAAAAUUUGAGGAGCCUAAGGCACAAACUAGAGCUCGUGAUACUCGAUGCUUCAAAUGCCAAGGUAGAGGCCAUAUUGCUAGUCAAUGUCCCAAUCAUAGGACUAUGGUUAUGAUGCAAAAUGGCGAGAUCGUGAGCGAGGACGAAGCCGAGUACAAAGGCAUGCCACCCCUUGAAGGAGGUAGCUAGUGAUGGUGAGUCACCAAAUGAAGAGGAGUUUAGUGUACCCGAGGGUCACUUUGGGACCGCCUUGGUUGCAAGGAGAGCAUUAACUGCACGUGUUAAGGAGGACGAGCUUCAACGGGAGAACAUCUUCUACACUAGAUGUUUCGUCAAUCAAGCACUUUGUAGUGUGAUUAUUGAUAGUGGGAACUGUACAAAUGUAGUUAGUUCACUCAUGGUGGACAACUUGAAACUGCCUACGAGGGAUCACCCACGCCCCUACAAACUCCAAUAGCUCAAUAAUUCUAGGGAGGUUCGAAUAACCAAACAGGUUCUUGUAUCCUUCCAAAUUCAUAAAUACUCUGAUGAAGUAUUAUGUGAUGUUGUACCUAUGCAGGCUAGUCACAUUAUACUAGGUAGGCCGUGGCAGUUUGACAGGCAGGUAACUUUUGAUGGUGUGACUAACAAGUAUAGCUUCUUGUACAAUAGUAAGAAAGUCACCCUAGCUCCCCUUUCCCCAAAACAAGUGCACGAGAACCAAUUGAAAUUGCAACAAGAGUUUGAGAAGUAUAGUGCAAAAAGGAAAGAAAAUGAGAGAGCCGAGGCAAAAAAAGAGGGGAAAAAGGCUAUAGAUAACUCGGCAAGUGAGAUAAAAAUCGAGGGAAAACAAAUGCUCCUGAUAAAAGCCAAGAAAGUGAAGAAGUUACUGAGAGAUGAGUAGCCACUUCUUAUGCUUGUUAGCAAGGAAGUAGCCCUGAAUGUGCAUGAACUUGAUACUGAUAUACCUCUCGAGGUUAAGUCUCUUUUACAGGAGUACACUGAUGUCUUCCCCGAGGACGUGCCAAGUGGAUUGCCACCACUUAGGGGCAUUGAGCAUCAAAUUGACUUCAUCCCUGGAGCUUCAUUGCCAAAUCGCCCAGCAUACAAGAGCAACCUGGAGGAGACUAAAGAGUUGCAAAGGCAAGUGGAUGAGUUGCUUGGCAAAGGAUGGGCACAUGAGAGUUUAAACCCGUGUGCUGUUCCAGUCAUUCUAGUGCCCAAGAAAGAUGGUACGUGGAGAAUGUGUACCGAUUGCAGAGCCGUAAAUGCCAUCACGGUAAAGUAUCACCACCAUAUACCUCGCUUAGAUGACAUGCUUGAUGAGUUACAUGGGGUUGUGUUCUUUACCAAAAUUGAUCUCAAAAGUGGGUACCAUCAAAUUAGGAUUAAGGAGGGGGAUGAAGGGAAAACUACCUUCAAAACUAAGUAUGGCUUGUAUGAGUGGUUAGUGAUGUCUUUUGGGCUAACUAAUGCACCUAGUACCUUCAUGAGAUUAAUGAAUCAUGUUCUGCGUCCGUUCUUAGGAAAAUUUGUGGUAGUUUACUUUGACGAUAUCCUAAUUUAUAGCAAAUCUUAUGAUGAAGACCUAGAGUAUAUUAGGGCUGUUAUGAAUGUACUUCGAAGAGAGAAGCUCUAUGCCAAACUCAAGAAGUGCAAUUUUUGCACUAACGAGCUUGUGUUCCUAGGGUUUGUUAUAAGUGCGCAGGGAAUGAAGGUGGAUGAUCAAAAGGUGAAAGCUAUUCAAGAGUGGCCAACACCAAGGUCUGUAGGUGACGUUCGAAGCUUCCAUGGCCUUGCGGGUUUCUAUAGGAGAUUCGUGAGGGACUUUAGCACUAUUGCUGCACCCUUGACCGAGUUGAUCAAGAAGAAUGAGAACUUCCAUUGGGGAGAUUCUCAAGAACAAGUCUUUCGCGCUUUAAAGCACAAACUCACAUAUGCACCUGUACUUGCUUCACCUGACUUUUCUAAAACAUUUGAAAUUGAUUGUGAUGCUUCAGGUAUUGGAGUUGGAGCUGUGUUGAACCAAGGAGGAAGACCUAUUGCCUACUUUAGUGAGAAACUCAAUGGGGCUGCACUGAACUACUCAACUUAUGAUAAAGAGUUGUACGCCCUCAUUCGAGCACUACAAGUUUGGCAAUGCUACUUAAGGCCUAAGAAAUUCGUGAUACACACUGAUUAUGAGUCCCUUAAAUACCUUAAGGCCCAGCACACCUUGAGCAACAAGCAUGCAAGGUGGAUCACAUUCGUGGAGUCCUUUCCGUACGUGAUUAAAUACAAGGCUGGUAAGUCUAAUGUGGUUGCGGAUGCACUCUCACGAAGUUACUCUCUACUCACUUCCUUAGAUGCUAAGUUGUUAGAGUUUGAGCUUAUUAAAGACAUCUAUGCACAAGAUAGUGAUUUCGGUGAACUUUACCUUUCUUGCAAACAUACUGGGUAAGGUAAAUUCUUCAUUUCCGAUGGUUACUUGUUUUAUGCCAAUCGGCUUUGCAUUCCACAUGGAUCCAUCCGCGAACUUUUGGUACGAGAAUCCCAUUCGGAUGGCCUUAUGGGACAUUUUGGGGUUGAUAAGACUCUUGCCAUGCUGCAGGAGCACUUCUAUUGGCCGCACAUGAGGAGAGAUGUUGCACGGGUGGUGAAGCGAUGCUUAGCUUGUAAGAAGCUAAAUCCAAGGUACACCCGUAUGGCCUUUACACCCCGUUACCUAUUUCUAGUGCAAUAUGGGUUGACAUUUCUAUGAAUUUUAUACUUGGUUUGUCUAGAUCCAAGUAUGGCCAUGACUCCAUUUAUGUGGUUGUUGAUAGAUUCUCUAAAAUGGCACAUUUCAUUGCUUGUCAUAAAACGGAUGAUGCAUCUCAUAUUGCUAAUUUGUUCUUUAAAGAGAUUGUGAGAUUGCAUGGCAUUCCUAGGACCAUUGUAUCUGAUAGAGAUGUUAAAUUCCUGAGCUAUUUUUGGAAGACACUCUGGUCUAAAUUAGGCACCAAAUUGCUAUUCUCUACUGCUAGCCACCCCCAAACUGAUGGUCAAACCGAUGUGGUAAAUCGUACAUUAGGUACCUUGUUGCGUGCCAUCAUCAAAAGGAACUUGAAAUCUUGGGAAGAGUGUUUACCUCAUGUUGAGUUUGCUUAUAAUAGGGCUAUCCAUUCUACUACCGAUUUCUCUCCAUUCGAGUGUGUUUAUGGUUUUAAUCCGCUAACACCACUUGAUCUAGUGCCAUUACCUAGUAAUGAGCGUGCGCAUUUGGAUGGUAAGAAACGUGCAGAGUUUGUUAAGCAACUGUAUGAGAAAGUCAGGGUCAACAUUGAGAGGAGAACUGCUCAAUAUGUGAAGCAAGCCAACAAAGGGCGCCAAAAGUUGAUUUUCAAACCCGAGAAUUGGGUGUGGUUGCACAUGCGCAAGGAACGAUUCCCUGUUCAAAGGAGAAAUAAAUUACACCCACGUGGUGAUGGACCGUUUCAGGUGUUGGAGCGCAUCAAUGACAACGCCUACAAACUUGACCUUCCUGGUGAGUAUGGAAUUAGUGCUACAUUUAAUGUCUCUGACUUAGCUCAUUUUGAUGCAGAUGAUGUGUUUGAUUUGAGGACAAAUCCUUCUCAAGAUGAGGGGAAUGAUAGCAUCAUGGUACGUGGGCAGGUCAACAAUGGCUCGAAUAAUCGAGGAGCUGAGGAUCACGUGCACGUUCCAAGUGGACCCAUUACUAGGGCUCGCGCAAAGAAACUUCGUGAGCAACUUAAUGUACUUAUUCAGGCCAUACACAAGUUCUUUGAAGGAUUCAUACACUCAAGUGAAGGUGGUCGCGGUCCGAUAAUGAGCAUUGAAGCUACACCUGAGGAUUAGGAUUUUUGCCAAACCCUAAUUUCCGUUUUAGCAUCAUAGUUAGUUAUUUCCACAUUAGUUGAUUAGAUUGAAUAAUUGGCUAAGUGCAUAUUGCACGUAGAAUCACCAAGGGUAGGAUUGCUAAUUUACUCAUUAUUAUUUGCUAGAGUGGGCUGCCUAGGAAGGAAAGCGCAUGUGAGGCCCAACCCGUCGGGGGCCCAUAUCUACUGCACCCUUAGUCCAUUUUUUUACUAGAUUAGGUUUUUGACUUGUAGCCUAUAUAAGGCACCAUAUUACAUCAUUAAAGGGUAGACACUUUUAUCAUAAAAAAUCUAGUGUGAGAAUUUUCUCCAUAGCUUUCGAGCAAUCCUUGAACAAUUUAGAGUUUUACUCGAGUGUUCUUGUUUGACUUAUCAAUUCAAGAACCAUACUUGAAUUGUGGCGCCUUCUACACUUGCCUGAGGUUCGCUAAUUCGUUUGAUUACGGGUUGAGAUAAUAUCAACAAGUUCGUAGCCAUGGGGAUUAGAGGGGUCGUAGGGUUUCCACUGCUACUGUUGCUUGCGUUCGAAGUCAAAUCCAACAAGUGAUCUUGGGUCGCGAAUCUUCUCACCAACGAGAUUCGUAUCACUAGGUGGGAUAAGCAAUAUGUUUGGGAUGCUGUGGUUGAUAGUAGUUCAUAGGUGAUUAUAGAUAUACCUGAUCCAAAAAACCUCUUACUUCGAGGAACACAAAUCAGACUUUAUCUAAGGGUACUCAUGCUCUUUUAUUUUUCAAUCAUAUAAAUGGUUUUUGUAUCUUAAACUUUCAUUCAUAUGCUUUGGGAAAGAAGAUAGGAAGUUCAAUUAGUUAUUUCUCCUAUGUCUUGUGAAUGCUUAUGUUGGUAGGCAAUCAAUUCUACUCUAUAAUUUCAAUGUAUAAACAAUUAAAAUAAGAUGCGUAUAACAUCAACGACAAUCUGAAAAGAUUUUUGUUAUUGUAAGAGGAUGAUAAGUAUGACUUUUGAGUCAACCAGGGUCCAGAAUUUGAUGAAGAACUAUUCACAGUCCAUUUUCUUCUCUAUCUAUGUUUGGCUAGAGAAAUCAAGAACUAUUGAGAUACGGACUUUUUCUUUUAAAUUUGUUUUCCCUGAAAAGAAUAAAUCCUCUCUCUCUCUCUCUCUCUCUCUCUUCCUCUCUCACAUACAUACACACACCCCCGUCAUAAGUUGAUAUUGUUACUGCAACAUGUUUUUAGAUUUCUACCUAUAUUAUUUCAUUUUUUUAAAUAAAGUAAUUCCAUUAACUCAUCUCAUGGUACACAAUACCAUGAAUUCUAGUUUCUUCAGAUUUUUAUCUGGUGGGACUUUACGUAACCUAGGGUUUUGCUAGAUCAAAACCAUGGCUGCCCUUCAGCCGUCUGCUGGAGGCCAAUUACCUUCAUCUCCAACCUUUCAACGAAAAUCUUUUUCAAAGUUAUUUUCGUCCCAAUCAUCUUAGCCUAUCCUAUCAAUUAAAACUGCGACUUCAACACAUAAAAGAUGCAAUAGAUAUUCUAUCGCAUCCCUAUAGAAGUAGGAGUAUUUUCUAAGAGUAGGCCAAAAAUGAAGGAGCUUAGGAAAUUCUUUCUAUCAUUGGAUUUAAAGGAGUCAGUGUCUAUGGGUUUGUUGGAUUCAAGGCAUAUUCUUAUUAGUCUCCAUAACGAAGUGGACUUUCACUGUAUUUGGUCUCGAAAUAUCUGGUAUAUUUUGGGUUUUCCUAUGAGAGUUUUCAAGUGGCAAAGAGGUUUCAGUUGCUCCUGUUUGGUUCCAAUUGCCGAAGCUUCCGCUACACUAUUUCAAUAAGAAGGUUCUCUUUCAAAUAGUCUCUAUGUUGGGAGCUCUGUUAUUCGUAGAUGCUGCUACUUUGACUACUUUGCAUCCAAGUGUAGAGAGGGUAUGUGUAGAAAUUGAUCUGCUUAAGCCGAGGCCUUCUAGACUUUGGAUUGGGAAUGGUAGUCAUGAAAGUUUCUGGCAAUAUCUUGUCCCAGAAAACAUGCCCAAAUUCUGAUAUCAUUGUUUUAGACAAGGACAUGGAGAGGCCGAAUGUCAUGUUUUAAAUCCAGAGCUUCGGGUACCUAAGGGGGAAGAAAGGCAGCUAGUUUUACAGAAUAUGCGCACAGAGUACAGGCCAAAGAAUCAAGAAAGGGUAAUGAAGGUGGGAGUUCGGCCAGUCCUUCUGGGGUUGUUGUGAUAGCUAUGACAGGAUAGAACUUGAUAAAAGCAAUGACUGCGAGUUCUGGUGUGGCACUGCAAACGGUUCUGCCAUCUAAUGUUUCAGGGGUUGCAGAAGCAACACAAGAGGUUUUGCCUACCCAGCGGCAGCUUGGUGAUAUGUUGCAAUUUGGUACAAGCAAGGUUCAAACCUUUUAGACACCCAUCACGCGAAGUUUAAUGACAUGCAUCAUGUGAGGACCCGAAAAUUAUUUCAUCUUUUUUUCUAUUUCUUUGAAUACAUUUUCUUUACUUUGCUUUAUUGCCUUAAUUUCUUAGAUAUUUUUAUAAGUGAGUUAAGAUUUUUAAACAUUUUCUCCUAUAAGUUAGUGUAUGUUAAGUUCGUAAUACAUUAUAGAAGUGGGAACCACUAGUGAGUUGCGUAAUAAAUUUAGUGGACAAAAUGGAUAUUUUUUAAGAGGGUUUAUGUGGUUAGAAUUCCUAAGAGUGGAUUAGAGUAAAACAAUAUAGAUUACUCAUUAGAGACAAAGGAAUGACAAAAAGAUAAGUUCAAACCCUAAGUCGACAAGUGUCGGACAUCUAGCCAUCCUUUGACUAAGACAACUUGUGGUCUUAUCUUGGAAAAUUGGGCAAGAAUUCCUUCAUUCUUUCUUUCCUCUUGGCCGAACCUUCAUGAGAGAAAGGGAGCCGAGAGAAAACCAAUUUCUAGUCUUGAAUCCUUGCCUUUUUAGUGAACAGACAAGAUAGAAACCAAAAUCACUCCAUAAAACUUUGAAAUCCAACUUGGAAGGAAGCUCUUGGUGAAGUCUUGGGAGAGAGAAAGAUUUGCAACCCUCUUGAUUGGCUUGUUAUCUAAGGGGUUCAAGGUAUCAAGCUAAGCAACCUUCUUUUCACUCUUAUCUUGCCUUUUGUUGGAUAUAUGACUUGAUUAUGGUGGAUUCUAGGGAAAAUUUCAUGAUAUGUGUGGUGAUUGGAAAAAUUCCAGCUUUGAAAGAGAAAUUUCAGCCUUGAAAUGUUGAUUUUAGCUAUGUUAAGUACUUGUUGUCUUGCCAUGGAGUUUCUCUAGCUUUUGUGUGCACUUGUGACUUCAUUGUAUGAACUUUUAGCUUUAGUAUAUAAAUUUCAGCUUAGGGUUACAUUUUUUUCCAACUUUGAUAUGGUUAUGAUUGAGAUAGAUAAUGGUCUAUUUUGGGUAGCUUUUGUGGCCUUAAACAAGUGUACUUUAUAGCCUAUAACUUGUGAUUGUGAUUGAGGUUGGAUUGCUACGAAUAUAAGUGCUGAAUUUGGAAAGGAAAGUUAAGAAAUCAAGGGGAAAUGCUGUCCGAUUGGGAAUCAUCUUGGUUUCCUUUGAUUGUGGAGUGAAUGUGUGGCAAAUUUGCCUAAGAUACUAGGUAAACCUUUAAACUUUACUUAUGUGUUGAAUUUGAGAUGAAAUGGAGGGUUUUCAUUGGUACUUUUCUCUAAUUUGCUGGCUACAGUUGUUGCUUGUUGGCCGUGUGGAUAGUGAUGUAUUUUACCUUAUUUUUCUUCAACCUUUUUAUGAUAAGUUUUGGCCAAAACCUGUUCCAAACAUUGGUUGGGACUUUUGUGUGUUAAACUUGAAUAAAAGCUGUGAAAUUUGGAAAGUGAAAGCCUCAUGAUUUUGCUUGCUCCAUUGUUGAAAUUUCUGGUAGGUAGGGCAGCCUUGUACCAUGCUAUCUUUUAGCUUUAAAACCCUUAGUUUGAUAAUCUUUUGGACACAAUCUUGCUCAUUUCACUUGCUAAACCUUGAACAACUAUGAUGUGUUAAAUUGGAGUGAAUAUCAUAACUAAAAGAGGUGCACUACCUUGUUUUUCUUCAUUGUUUUGUUGCUGGAAAUUUCCCCACGAAACUCUGGGCAGUUUUGGAAAAUUGGUUAUAACUUCAUGUAGAAAAGUUGAAAUUAAGUUCUGUUUGUUGCGUUUGAAACUAAAUUCAGAUUACUUUCUAUCGUGAAAAUUUCAGAAUUUUUGUCAAUUCCUAUGAAUAUCUGUGAUUUUUCAAACUUGACUGAAUUUUCACACCUGUUUUGUUUUUCUACCGGAUGAAGUAGUAACUUGAGACUAGAAUUUGACUGAAUUGUGGUCAGAAUCUUACAAAUAUGUCUUCUAGAAAUUGUAAUCCUUUGAGUCUAUUCUCCAAGUGUAUAAAGUUUAUAAAUUUUGGACUUAAGAAACUUGAGAUAUGAUUUUUCAAAUAGCAUCGCUCAAAACUGAAAAAAAUUCUGUUCUUCAAAAGCUGUUAGUGCUUUCAUUUCCAACUUCAAGUAGGAGUGGUAGAACCAUAUUGAGCUUGGUUUUAUGAUUGGAGUUGAGAUAACUUGGUUGGUAUGGAAGUGUUUUCCUUUGAAUAUAGUAGCUUGGAGUAGUGGAUCUCAUGGCAUUUUACAUACUUGAUUUUAAGACUUGAAGGUGAGGCCGAAAGUGCUCCUUAGGCAAAUACUUAAGGUUGUUGCCGUGGUGAGUGUUCCAAUCGCAUGUUCCAUGCUUAUUGCUGCUAGAAAUUUGCUAGACUUGAUUUAACAUUUCAUAGGCGAGUGUGUACUUUAUCGCGCUUGACCUAAUUUGACUAAACACUUGAUAUUGCAUUCAUGUAUGUCCAAAUAAUUUGAUUUGCAUGUGACCUGUAUCUUGAAUUGGAAUACUUGAAAUACUUGAAAAUGUGACAUGCUAGGCAUUACUUGUGACUUGGCCAUGGCUAGGUGAGUGUGUCCUUAUUCGCACUCUAUCUCCAUGAGAUUGAAAUAAUUGAUCCUGCGUACGGAGUUGCAUGUCUAUGUGCAUGGUUGUAGACCGGCUGCAUUCCUCUUGCAGCGGUUGAACUAAGCCCUUGGACCUUUACCCGAUAUGUUGGGUAAGUGAAAACUUGGGUUACUCAUGCGUAUGCGUGAAUGUAGGUUGGUAACGGCUGAACUGAGCCCUCGUUGAACCUCUUUCUUGAGACCAGUUUCAGAGCAGUCGGGUAAGCCUGGCAACCUUGGGUAAAGGACAAAGUUCCUAAUCUGUUUACUCUUGAUUGAAAUUCGUGACCUGAACUCUGAUAUUUCUAAAUACAGAGCGUUAAGUGAUAACUAACGUCUUCAAUCAUUACCUGCGUGAGUGUUGGAUAACAACAACGACUCCACUCCUGAAUACUUAAAUACUUGGGGCUCUAAAUAAUAUCUUGAAUAUCUGAAUAUCUGGGGCUAUAGCCCAACCCAAGGCUAGUUGGUCGAAUCGAGCUGAUAAGGGGUUGGUCGAGGAGAUCGACGAACCUUGGGUACUUCUUUGACGUUCGGGCCCAGUAAGGGAAUGAUCAGUGGACGGAGAUUGACAUUUAGUGGUGAUCUAUGGACAUUAUAAUUUCCUGGUUGACAGAGAGUCAACAGACCUCGGACAAGCUACUGUGGAACCUGUUCCUGAGAGCGAACUAUAUCUUUUGACAUGAACGUGUUCUUUAUCGUAUACUUUUACAUGAUCUAUAUGAUUACCUGCAUUACGAUACACUAUGCCAUGAUCAAUAUGAGCAUGACUAGUUUUCUGAUAUCCUGUGAAUGAUAUCAUGCCUGCUAGUUUACUUGCCUGUUUUCGUGGAACGUCACUAGGCUUUUAACUCAUUCCAUGAAUUUGUUUUCCUUACAAGAAUGAGAAUGUAAGAGUGGAAAUUGGAAAAGGCCUAGAUUUCAUCUAAGUUUGUUAGUUGCUUAUGUGAGCACUCCAUCUAGCUGGCUUGUUUGGUUUGAUUUUUGCAAGUUUGACUCCUUGGCUAUAUUUAUAGAUUGUGUGGGUAUUGGAGGUCCAUGAGUGUACACAUUGAAGGUUGUAAUUGAUAUCGCUUUUAUUAUUGAGGUUAUUAUUUAUAAAUUUUAUGAUGCGUGACUAAGGUCUGGUGAGAGUUGGACAGGCGGUCCACCAAACCCUUGGGUACGCCUUAGGGGAAGAUGGGGUUAUCACAGGUGAUAUCAGAGCUGUUUCAUGUGGUCUCGGUGUGGGGUGAGCUUGGGUCAAGUUGUGAGGACUUGCAAAAACUCUUCAUAUUUCCUUAAAAAAAUUCCCUUUUAUUUUGAAUUAAUUACUUUAUAAUAACUUUACUACUCAUUUACUCCCUCAAUAGUUGGAAUAAAGAAUAGAAUUAAGAGUUUUCCCUUUACUUUUAUAGUUAGGGUAAAUUAGAGUUUUUGCGCAUUUUGGUAAUGUGAUCACUUGGUGAGGUGUGUGUACUAAAUUUGGUGGAUAAGCAAGAGUAUUAGGUAAGAAAAAAAUAUGUGAUUAGAAGUGUUAAUAAUAAAUGAGCGAAAACACAAGUACGCGAGAGUUGAGGAAAAAAUGUUUGAACUGACGUGCACCGUUUGCUACCGAUUGAAUAUACCAUUUGAACACUACUUUAUUUCCUUAAUCCCAUUAUUUUUAAUUGAGCUAAUUAGCCCUUAAUUAACCCUUAAGUGGCCAAAAUUCUUGACCAAAGGAAGAGAGAGAAAAGAGAAUAUUUUGAGAUUUAACCAUGAAGCGACACUUGGCGGAAAUCCAACCAACUUUGACUAAACAAAUUUCCUUCCUUCUUAUCUUCAAAUUUGCUUCAUUUCUCCUUCAUUUCUUUUCUUGUUGGCCGAGAGUGAGGAGAGAAAAAAGAGAGGAGAAAGUUUGCAACUCCAACCUUGAAUCCAUCUUUAUUUGAGUGAAAUCUCAAAAACUAAACCGAUUAAACUUACUUUUUGGUAUUUGAAAAGCUUGGUGUGGUGAAAUUUUGGAAGGGAGUGAUUUGUUUUUCACUUGCAAGAAGCUUUUGGGAAGGUAUAAGGCCUAAACUUUCUUUUCUUUUGUUUAAUCUUGCUAAGUUUAAUAUAGGAGCUUUUAAUCUUGGCUUGCUAUGGUUGAUUAUUUAGUUUUGAUGGAGUAGUGGCAUGUUUAGGUAGGGUUUGCAUCUUUUCAGUUUUGAUUAGUGUUUUUUAACUAGUAAAUGAUGUUAUUGAGGUGGGAAAUGGAACUUGUGAAGUGAUUUUGGGUUUGAGUGUAACUUUGUUAGAGUAAAAGUUGAAUUCCAGCAUUUGGUAGUGAUUCUGCCCUGUUUUUGGAGCCAAUCUGACCUGCAUAUUCGUCCAUGAUAAAGGCCAAGUCAGUUCUUUCUUAAAACAUGAAAGUUGUAGGGAGUUGAGUUAGCUUUCUACCUGUAAAAUUUCAGCUCAAUUGGAGCACUGUAGAAUGUAAAAUGACUGAAAUACCCUUGACUGCCCAAGUGCCCUGUUUAACCGACAACUUUUUAUUUUCUCUGAGAUGUCAAAUUUUGACCCUGAAAAUGCACGAACUGGGUGUUGAUGUCUUCAUAGGAAAUGUAGGUCUAUGUCUUACCUUCGAAACGCCAUAAAAUUUACCUUGAUCCGAUAGACCUAGCUUCAGUUAUGACCAAAACACCAAACAAUGACAAAUCUGCCACUUAGACAUUCUUCUUUAAUACUAGUUUUCAGCUUUGGUCUUGGAGGUUUCAUUGUUAGAAUUGACUUAUAUUUGGAUGAUAUUGAGCCUAAUUGAAGAGCUAUUGUGUUAAGAUUGCUUAUGUAUUGAAUUUGGGCUGAGUUGAGAAAAAAAUGAAGCCAUAAAUCACUAAAAAAUAGUGAAAUACAAAGGGCAUACUGCCCAAAUUUUCGCUCAAAGGUUAGGCAAGUGAACUUGAGACUUGAGCGACGAUUUGAAGUCAAAAUGAACUUGGAUUGUCUAUGGUAGUCAAGUUACCGUUAGUAGAGGUAUAUGAGCUAAAUUUGGCCAAAACUCAUACCCUUUAAAAGGUGAAUGCGACCAAUAGAAAUACGUUUUUCUCGUCUUUUAGACUCAAAUGCGAAUUUCAAAGUUUUAAUUGAUUCUUUAGCAACACCAAAAGAGCGAGCAUGAAUUUUCUAGAGUUUGAUAAGUAACAUGAAUACUACCUAAAUGAGUUUCAGUUACUUGAUUUUUUUUAAGCGAAACUCUGAAGUUUCGAAGCCUAAUUGAUUUCAAACUCUUUAAUGAUGUUUUAUCACAGAUUUGGACUCCAAACAAGGAGUUAUACCUGACCGUGAUCCUAAGAAGCACUAAAUCUUUGGUGAGUGCUUCCAAAUACCUAAUUGAACUUGACACUUGUUUUAAAUGCUUGACCAACGUGGUCGAAUGAUACUUAAUUGGUUUGGUCGGGCAAGAGUGUACUUUAUCGCACUUGCCCUAAUGUGAUAUAUUCUUGUUCAUUGGUUGCAAUUAACUUGAUAUACAUGUGUUUGAUUCGUAUCUUGUCUGGAAUUCCAAAAACCCUAUGGCUAGUUAAUCGAGUCUAGCGGGCAAGAGCCUGAUUGAUUAGAUAAUGAACCCUGAGUCUCUAGUUUUGUCGAGUGGAAUAAUAUCUCCUCGACUAAUUGGUAUACUCGAGUAUUACCACACGUGUUUAUUUGAACGUUCGGACCCGGUAAGGAGGUUGAAUGGUGGACGGAGAUUGUGUUAAGUGGGGCACUACUGGACUAAUUACUUUAUUUGAAAUUUGACGGAGUGUCAACUACUUUUUGAUCAAGCUAUGGCAGAGCUAUUUUAUAAUAGCGGCCGUAUCCUUUUACUUGACAUGUUCAUUAUCCAGUGAUUGGCAUUACGAAGUGUUAUUACUCAUUUUUUUGACUUGAUAUGCUCACUACUUUGCUAUUUUGAUACUUUCACUUUUAAUUAAUGGUCAACUUGCUAUUUGGAACCUCACUGAAUUUCAACUCAUUCUAUUAGAUUUAUUUUUCUUAUAGAGGGUACGAGCGAGGUGUGAAACUGGUACAAGUUAGCAUAGUCUAGUUUUUAAAAAUUUUGCGAUUGUCCUCGAACUAUCCAGUGAUUGGUAUUACGAAGUGUUAUUACUCAUUUUCUUGACUCGAUAUGCUCGCUACUUUGCUAUUUUGAUACUUUCACUUUUAAUUAAUGGUCAACUUGCUAUUUGGAAUCUCACUGAAUUUCAGCUCAUUCUAUUAGAUUCGUUUUCCUUAUAGGGGGUACGAGCGAGGCGUGAGACUGGUACAAGCUAGCAUAGCCUAGUUUUUGGAAAUUUUGUGAUUGUACUCGCACUAGUCGCUCAAUUAGGUUGAAUGUACUUAGAACUUCAAUCUUUUGAUAUAAUUGGACCUGUAUAAGCAUUGGAGCUGAAUUUAAACAUUAAUGUAUGUUCCAAUGUUGGGAUUGUUGCUUUAUUUCCUUUCUAUGGUUGUAAGUUAUUUUCUUGAGGUGCGUGAGAGUGAGUCCUGGUGAGAGUUGGGCAACCGGUCUGCUAAACCCUAGGGUACGACUUAGGGGGAGAUGGGGUCAUCACACAAGUAGUGUUAUGGUCCCAAUUAUGUAAAUAAGUAUAAAGGAUUAAGUGCUCUUCUUAGAUGUAAGUUGUGAAUCAUGAAAGUUAUAGGUGUAAAACCUUUAUCAUGAUACUUCAGGAAAAUAGACACGUAUGUUAGGUAGGAAUUUUAAACUUGGUUGAUUUUCCCUUGGGAGCGUACGACCUGAGACGUGAAUUCUCCUAGUUUCAGAUUCUUGUACCCGAGUACCAAAAGUGAAGAACACUAGAAUAAGGGUCGAUAUCUCGGUUGCACUUGAGAUAAAUUUGGAUGGCAAAAGACAAAACGUGAAAGAUUCUAAUAUUGAACUUGAGAUUGAAUUGAUCAAGGAGAGUGGAUCAAUAAGUGUCGUCAUGGACUAAUCUCAUGCAUGUCUGGUUAGGGUUUCUAUAGAUGAUGGCUAGCUUUGCAGUCAUCGUGAAUGUUUAAGAUGCUAGUAUUGUAACUUGUUUCAUUUCUCAUGUACCUAUAUAUUCUUGUUCUGUGUUUUCUUGAUUUUGUUGCGAUUUGAUUACGGUUACAUAUGUAUUUCUUUUAAUUUCUUACUUGACUACCAUUUUCUAUUUCCUACCCUUCUAUGAUACCCUAUAGGAACUUGGUUUUAAUGUAUAUUUCUCUAGUUUUGGAUUAUGUAUGGGAUUUUGGGGACAAAAACUUGAGUUCUAUACUUAUAUACGAAUUUUGGCAGAAUUUGGAUGAACGUCUUGAUGGGGGAUGGUACAGAACACUAGUGAGAGUAAGAGGUUAUGGAUUCUUCUUGAGCAACUUUGUAAGUGAGUAAUGGAGAGUGAGUUAGGGUGUGAAACUUUUAUUUUAAGGAAUUUGAUUCCGUAUUUUGUUAUAUGUAUAAGUGAUGAUAGUAAUCUUUGUGGGAAGACACAAGAACUCGUCUAUCUCAAGUAGAGAAUAGUUAAGAUUUAUAUUUCUUUGGUAACCUGUAAGCAAAAGAACGGAAGAGUAAUAUGGCCAGAGUUUCCAAUUGUAAAUAGUUACUCAUUUUGAUCCUUUGAUUUGCCUGCGGGCUAUCAUUUGAUUUAAGUAAAUCAUUGAGAUGACAAAUUUGGGAGAUAUGCAUAAGGAAAUAGACAUUCUUCGAAAGGAGGUAGAAUUUCAAAAGAAAUUGGCUGACUGCUAGGAAAGACGAUGGAAACAAUAAUAUGCGGAGAAAAUUGAGUUGCUACACAAGAACGUGGAACUGGAAAAGAAAUACAGAGGGAUCCCGAAAAAGAUGCGUAACUACUAAGUGUGAAACUUGUAACAAAAUUCAUACUAGAAUAUGUUAUUUGAAAACUGGUGCAUGUCUUAGAUGCGGCCAACUUAAACAUCAAGUGAGGAACUGUCCAAGACAAAUGAAUCCUUAUCCAUGGUGAAACUGCUGUAAUAAUUAAAGUUAGUAAUUAGUGAUGUUUUGGCUAAAAUAGUUGUAUUUAUUGGACUAUGUGUUAUGCAAAUUUUAUGUAGCAAGUUGUAUCUUUGUUAGAAACAGUGAACUUGGUGCCUGAUGUUUCGAUUAAUGAUAUUACACAUCUGUGUUUGGUUGGAAUUAAACCCCUAUUUGUGAUUCAAUUUCUACACCUGUUCUUGGAUUUGAACAAGAAUUCUUUAUUUGUGGUUAAUAAUGAAGGAAGGCAGUUCGAUUAGAGGAGAUAGUAUGUUGCCAGUGUACUGUGUUUGAUUUCAAGAUCUAGCAGAAGUAGUAACCAAGUUUUGUAAUUAUUAUAUUACCCUGCACACAUUUGACAUCUUUGUUAAACUUUCUUAGCAUAUUAACGUAACAUUUACGUGGUAAGAUUUUCUCUCUAAAUAAGUUUAUGGUAGUACUAUGAGUAAGAGAAAGUCACUUGAAAAUUGGAGGAAAAUCCUGCAGCAUUAAGUUUAUGCAAGCAAAGGUGAGAAUUUCAAGGACGGAAUUCUUUUAAGGGGGAGAGAGUUUGAGGACUCAAAAAUUAUUUCAUCUUUUCUUUUAUUUCUUUGAAUACACUUUCUUUACUUUGCUUUAUUGUCUUAAUUUUCUAGAUAUUUUUAUAAGUGAGCUAAGAUUUUUAAAUAUUUUCUCCUAUAAGUUAUUGUAUGUUAAGUUCAUAAUGCAUAAUAGAAGUGGGACCCACUAGUGAAUUGCGUAAAAAAUUUAGUGGACAAAAAUGUAUAUUUUUCUCAGAGGGUUUAUGUGGUUAGAAUUAUUGAGAGUGAAUUAGAAGAAAACAAUAUAGAUUACUCAUUAGAGACAAAAGAAAGACAAAAGGAUAAGUUUAAACCCUAAGCCGACAAGUGUCGGACAUCUAGCAAUCCUUUGACGAAGACAAUUUUUGAUUUUAUCUUGGAAAAUUGGACAAAAAUUCCUUCAUUCUUUCUUUUCUCUUGCCGAACCUUCAUGAAAGAAAGGGAGAGGAGAGAAAACCAAUUUCUAGUCUUGAAUCCUUGCCUUUUUAGUGAACAAACAAGAUUGAAACCAAAAUCACUCCAUAAAACUUUGAAUCCAACUUGAAGGGAAGCUCUUGGUGAAGUCUUGGGAGAAAGAAAGUUUUGCAACCCUCUUGAUUGGCUUGUUAUCCAAGGGGUUGAAGGUAUCAAGCUAAGCAACCUUCUUUUCACUCUUAUCUUGCCUUUUGUUGGAUAUAUGACUUGAUUAUGGUGGAUUCUAGGGAAAACUUCAUGAUAUAUGUGGUGAUUGGAAAAAUUUCCAGCUUCGAGAGAGAAUUUCAGCCUUGAAAUGUUGAUUUUAGCUAUGUUAUGUCCUUGUUGUCUUGCCUUGGAGUUUCUCUAGCUUUUGUGUGCACUUGUGACUUCAUUAUAUGAACUUUUGGAUUUAAUAUAUAAAUUUCAGCUUAGAGUUGCAUUUUUUCCAGCUUUGAUAUGGUUAUGGUUGAGCUAGAUAAUGGUCUAUUUUGGGUAGCUUUUGUGGCCUUAAACAAGUGUAAUUUAUAGCCUAUAACUUGUGGUUGUGAUUGAGGUUGGAUUGCUACGAAUAUAAGUGUUGAAUUUGGAAAGGAAAGUUAAGAAAUCAAGGAGAAAUGUUGUCUGAUUGGGAAUCAUCUUGGUUUCCUUUGAUUGUGGAGUGAAUUUGUGGCAAAUUUGUCUAAGAUACUGGGUAAACCUUUAAACUUUACUUAUGUGUUGAAUUUGAGAUGAAAUGGAGGGUUUUCAUUGGUACUUUUCUCUAAUUUGCUGGCUACAGUUGUUGCUUGUUGGCCGUGUGGAUAGUGAUGUAUUUUACCUUGUUUUUCUUCAACUUUUUUUGAUAAAUUUUGGCCAAAACCUGUUUCAAACAUUGAUUGGGACUUUUGUGUGUUAAACUUGAAUAAAAGCUGUGAAUUUUGGAAGCUGAAAGCCUCAUGAUUUUGCUUGUUCCAUUGUUGAAAUUUCUAGUAGGCAGGGCAGCCUUGUACCUUGAUAUCUUUUAGCCUUAAAACCCUUAAUUUGGUAAUCUUUUGGACACAAUCCUGCUCAUUUCACUUGCUAAAACCUUGAACAACUAUGGUGUGUUGAAUUGGAGUGAAUAUCAUAACCAAAAGAGGUGCACUACCUUGUUUUUCUUCAUUGUUUUGCUGCUAGAAAUUUUCCCGGGAAGCUCUGUGCAGUUUUGGAAAAUUGGUUAUAACUUCAUGUAGAAACGUUAAAAUUAAGUUCCGUUUGUUGCGUUUGAAACUAAAUUCAGAUUACUUUUUACCAUGAAAAUUUCAGAAAUUUUCUCAAUUCCUAUGAUAUCUGUGAUUUUUCAAAGUUGACUGAAUUUUCACACCUGUUCUGUUUUUCUACCAGAUGAAGCAACAACUUGAGACUAGAAUUUGAUUGAAUUGUGGUCAGAAUCUUACAAAUAUGUCUGUUAGGAAAUUGUAAUCCUUUGAGUCUAUUCUCCAAGGGUAUAAAGUUUAUAAAUUUUGGACUUAAGAAACUUGAGAUAUGAUUUUUCAAAUAGCAUCGCUCAAAACUGAAAAAAAUCUGUUCUUCAAAAGCUGUUCUUGCUUUCAUUUCCAACUUCAAGUAGGAGUGGUAGAACCAUAUUGAGCUUGGUUUUAUGAUUGGAGUUGAGAUAACUUGGUUGGUUUGUAUGUUUUUUCAUUUGAAUAUGGUAGUUUAGAAUAGUGGAUCUCAUGGCAUUUUACAUACUUGAUUUUAGGACUUAAAGGUGAGGCCGGAAGUGCUCCUGAGGCAAACACUUAAGCUUGUUGCCGUGGUGAGUGUUCCGACUGCAUGUUCCAUGCUCAUUGUUAUUAGAAAUUUGCUAGACUUGAUUUGACAUUUCGUAGGCAAGUGUGUAUUUUAUUGCACUUGACCUAAUUUGGCUAAACACUUGAUAUUGCAUUCAUGUAUGUCCAAGUAACUUGAUUUGUAUGUGACCUGUAUCUUGACUUGGAAUACUUGAAAAUAUGACAUGCUCGGCAUUACUUGCGACUUGGCCAUGGCUAGGCAAGUGUGUCCUUAUUCGCACUCGAUCUCCAUGAACUUAAAAUAAUUGAUCCUGCAUGCAGACUUGCAUGUUUGUGUGCAUGAUUGUAGACCGGCUACAUUCCUCUUGCAGCAGUUGAAUUGUAGACGGGCUGCAUUCCUCUUGCAGUAGUUGAACUAGGCCCUUGGACCCUUAUUCGAGACGUCGGAUAAGUGAAAAUUUGAGUUACUCAUGCGUAUGCAUGAAUGUAGGUCGGUAAUGGCUGAACUGAGUCCUCGUUGGAGCUCUUGCUUGAGAAUAGCCUCAGAGUGGUCGGGUAAGUCGGGCAACCUUGGGUAAAGGACAAAGUUCCUAACCUGUUUACUCUUGACUGGAAUUCAUGAUCUGAACUUUGAUAUUUCUGAAUACGGUGCGUUAAGUGAUAACUAACGUCUCCACUCCUGAAUACUUGAAUACUUGGGGCUCUAAGCCAUAUCUUGAAUAUCUGAAUGUCUGGGGCUAUAACCCCAACCCUGAAUUAGUUGGUUGAAUCGAGCCGACAAGGGCUUGAUUGAGGAGAUCGACGAACCUUGGGAACUUCUUUGACGUUCGGGCCCAGUAGGGGGAUGAUCAGUGGACGGAGAUUGAUGUUUGGCUAUAUUUAUGGAUUGUGUGAGCAUUGGAGGUCCAUGAGUGUACACAUUAAAGGUUGUAAUUGAUAUCGCUUUUAUUAUUGAGCUUAUUAUUUAUAAAUUUCACGAUGCAUGACUGAAUCCUGACGAGAGUUGUGCAGGCGGUCUGCCAAACCCUUGAAUACGCCCUAGGAGAAGAUGGACUAUCACACAUUAGGUGAGGUGGCUCCGACAAUGGUUUUACCAGUCAGUCCAGAGAUGUAGAUAAAGUCGGGUUCAGGUAGAGACAUUUUUUUAGUAGAUAUAAUAAAAGGUGUUCAGGAGCGAAUUGGUAAUUUGUCUCCCCGUGAUAAAUCAACAAUACAGCAUGUUAGGAGGGUGGCUUUACAAUGGAAACAUUAAAUUUUGAUCCAGUAGCUGAUGUUGAGUUGAUUGUGGAUCAGGGAAAGGAUGUAGAUGGAUUUCAAGCUGUUACCCAAGCCAAAUAGUGUGGCAUUCGAGUUAAAUUCCCUUCAGAUCAAAUCUUACGCUCUAUGUCAUCUUCUUCAAAUAAUUCUUUUUCUAUUUUGUGUGAUGAUUAAGAUGCUAUUUUGGAAUAUUAGGGGUGUUUCUCGUGCCCUCAAUUUAAAGAGACUUAGAAAGCUUAUUAAAUUAUACUCACUGCAAUUGGUGGCGAUCUGUGAACCUAAAGCUGAUUUAGAGAGAAUUGAUAGCAUUAGAUUAAAGUUGGGUAUGGAUUGUUGCAUUGCAAAUCAGUGGGGAUCCCUAUGGAUUUUUUUAUUAGUAUUCUUUUAGGUGUCAAAUGGUUGGAAAAUCCAUUCAACACUUUAGUCCAUAUGCAAUUUUUUUUCCUAAGGAUCGUGUGCUUCUCUGUGGUUUACGCUAAAUGUACAGUUUAGGAGAGGGAGAAUUUAUGGGCUGAUUUCUUGUUGGACAAUCCAACUGAUAUGUCUUUGGUUCAUCGUUGGUGAUUUUAAUGUAAUUGUGAGUGUAGAAGAAAAAAGAGGAGGCAUGCUUUUUGAUCUAAUGAAGGAACUGAUUUUCUCAAUUUUAUGUCCUUGGUGGGUGUCUGUGAUGCGGGAUUCUCUAGCUCGAGGCUUACAUGGUGUAAUAAUAGAUAGGGUCGAACUUAGGUAUAGAAACGUCUCAAUAGGCUUUUGCUAAAUUCCAUUACUACUUGUAUGGAGAGCAAUAUUUUGGCACAAUACUUGGGUAGGGACCCCUCAGAUCACUCUCCCCUUUUAUUGUUGGCAUCAACUAGAUUGGAUGAUAAAUCGAAGCCUUUUCAUUUUUUAAUGUUUGGGCCUUCAAAGAAGGCCUUUUGGACGUGAUUAAGGACAGUUGGUCGGAACCUUGUUCUGGUUAGCCAUUGCAUAUCUUGUCCGACAAGUUACAUCUUGUUAAACAAGCCAUCUGGACAUGGUCAAAAAAUUCUUUUAAGGACAUUUUUGCGUCAGUUCCGAACACAAAGCAGGAAGUGAUAGAGGCUGAGAUUGAAUAUAAUAUGUACUCGAUGGAUCAUCCUCUAGUUAGGCUGCAUGAAGUACGUGCCAAACUUAGGAGAACUUUGGUUAUUGAGGAGUUUUGGAGACAGAAGGCACGAGUUAAAUGGCUGGCUGAUGGAGAUUGGAAUACAAGUUAUUUUCAUGCAAUUGUAGCAGAGAGUAGGAAACAAGCUAUUAUUCAUCAAAUUCGAAAGGAUAAUAGUGAAUGGGUGGAAUUGGAGUCUCAAAUCUAUAGUGAAGCAGUGUCUUUUUUCCAAGAGCUUUUCACGGCAGAAUUUGCUUCUCCAUCAUAUGAUAUGCUGUAGGUGAUCCCGAGGAUAGUUAAUGACCAAGAUAAUUUGAUGCUAACAAAGAUCCCUUCAUUGGAAGAGGUAGAGAGUGUCAUCUUCUAGAAAAGGUGAGGACAAUGCAAUAGGUCCAAAUGAAAACAAGGGAAAAUUUAUCACAUUCGCAUGGGAGGUUAUUGUUGGAAAUGUCCACGCAACAAUAGUUAGUUUCUUCUAUGGAGCAAAGUUGCCAAGGAGCAUUUCUGCUACUUCUAUUGUCCUGAUUCCAAAGGUGCAGUGCUCCAAGACUUCACGUAAUAUCAGCCAAUAAGUUUGUGUAACUUCUAUUAAUAAGGUAAUUUUUCAAAGUUUUGUCAGAUUGGUUGGCUAAGAUUCUUCCACAUAUUAUCUCAUGCAACAGAGUGGGUUUGUUCAAGAAAGACAGAUUUCGGAUAACUUUUGGUUAGCCUAGGAGUUGUUGUCUAAUAUUCGAAAAUUGAACUAUGGAGGUGACGUGGUGAUAAAGCUGGAUAUGAUGAAAGCGUAUGAUAGAAUCUCCUGGUGUUUUAUUAUGCAAGUCCUUCGUAGAUUUAGUUUUAGUGAAACGUGGAUUGAUAUGAUUUGGAAAUUAAUCUCGAAUGUCUGAUUUUCAAUAAUUAUAAAUGGACACCCCUAGGGUUUCUUUAAGUCCUCAUUGGGUCUGAGGCAAGGUGAUCCAAUUUCCCCUGCUUUAUUUGUUAUUGGGGCAGAAGUACUAGCUAGAUCACUGAAUGAGUUGCUAAUGCAGCGAAGAUUUAAUCCUUUCAAAGUUCCAUUCAGUUGCCCAGUUAUUACUCGUUUAUUCUAUGUUGAUGAUGUGGUGAUUUUCACUAGUGAACUGAAGAAAUCCUUGCAGUUGUUGAUAGAGUGUUUUAAAUGAUUAUUGUGCAGUCUCAAGUUAGAAGAUUAACCAGCAGAAGAGCUACUUUUUGGUGCAUCCUAGCUUACCAUCUCAGCUUUAGGUGUUGAUAGGUCAAAUAACUGGCUUCCAAAGAAGGGUGUUUCCAAUCAAGUAUCUUGGGCACCUAUUAUAUAUUGGCAGAAGGAAGAAGGCAUUUUAUGCUGACAUAUGUACUUCCGUUGCCAAUAGAGUUCUGUCUUGGAAGCAAUGGAUUUUAUCAUCUAAGCGCAAAAUUUUGUUAAUCAAGAGUAUGUUAGCAUCAAUGCCGAUACACUUGUGGGCAGUGACAUCACCUCUAAAAAGGGUUUUUGGGGAUUUGGAGAAACUUUUUGCAGACUUUUUGUGGAGUUCAUCUGAAUUUGGUUCUGGAUUUCAUUGGCUAAAAUGGAGUGACUUUAGUCGUCCUUAUACCAAGGGAGGGAAGUGUUCGUAGCAUUCAAGAUGUUUUUGAUGCUUUGUUUGUUAAGCUCUAGUGGAACCUUAGGCAGAAACGUUUGCUUUGGGCACAAUUUAUGUCAUCAAAUACUGUGGGGGCUCACAUCCUUGUCUUGUGGAGAAAGGUCCUAUGCAUUCUUAUAUUUGGCAUAGGUUGCGAUCGGUGCAAGGUGUAGUGGAGGAGCAUGUUGUUGAAUUGUACGAGAAGGGUCGAUGGAUUUUUGGCAUGACAAUUGGGUGGGAGCAGGUGCAUUAUGUCAUAAAGUUGAGAUAUUUCAUGAGCAUCUAGUGGCAGAUUUUGUGUUGGAUGGAGGAUGGAAUGGUAGGAUGAUUCAUGAAUUUUUGGAGCCGGGAUAGCUCAGCAAGUUUUGAGAAUGGUGCCUCCAUCAUGUCAAGGCUCUGACCACAUGGUGUGGAUGCUGAAUAAUAAUGGCGUGUUUUCAGUUGCGUCGACUUACAAGCUCAUGAGAAGGUCUUCUAACUUUUCUCAGUUUAAUUCAUGUGUCUAGUAUGGAAAUCUUCCGAUUAAAGUUUCUUUCUUCAUGUUGCGGUUAUUGUCUUUUAAACUUCCUCUCAUGCAGCACUUGCGAAGGUUUGGAGUACAAGGUCCAUCUAAGUGUGUUUGCUGCCAGAAUCUUCCUUGUGAGGAGGAGGUUAAUCAUGUUUUUUGCACUAGUGAGUUGGCUCGACAAAUUUGGGAAUUUUUUGAGUUAUACGAUGAUGAGGUUUCUUCGGUGUGCACAGUUCGUCAUAUGAUUUUAAGAUGGUGGUUGUGGCCAUCAAAAACUAAGUAUUUGACUUAUGCUUAUCGCAUUCUCCCAUCGUUAAUCUGUUGGGAGCUGUGGAAGGUAAGGAAUAGUAUGGUUUUUGAGGGAAGGAGGGUUGGGUAUGAGAGGAUUGCGAGACAAAUUUUUCAGCAAUUGUGUGAGUUGUUUCAUACACAAUUUCCAGAUUUGAAAGGUCUAUUAUUUCUUGGCAAGAUUUUUAUUCUUUCUUGAUUGGUCAGCCGCAGAAAGUCGUAGUCGUUCUAGUUAGAUGGGUGGUCCGAUGAUGGGUUAUAAACUAAAUUCAGAUGGGUGUUCUAAAGGUAACCUAGGCUCAAGUGGUGGGGGUGGUUUGCUACGCGAUGUGCAAGGGAACUUCAUCUUUGUUUACUCGUGUUUCUUUGGCCAAUUGACAAGUUUUCAUGCAGAGAUUAAGUCUUUGCUUUUGGAGUUCAGCAAUGCCUAUCUCGUGGAUAUUAUGAUUUGCACAUUGAAACUGAUUCUCUUGUUUUGAUAAAGAUGAUUCAGGGGUGCUUUGCUUGCCUGUGGAGAUUGUAACAAGACCUAGAUGAGUUGAUGAAGUACCAGAAUCAUUUUUGGAUUAUCACACACUGUUACAGGGAUGCGAACGAGCCAGCUGAUAAACUUGCCAACGUAGGGGCUAUACUAGAGAUGGAUUGUAUUUUUGAUACUUUUGCGGUUCUACCUGCUAUGGUUCGUGGUGAAAUCAGGCUGGAUAGAUUAGGAUUUCCUAAUUUUCGUACAAGAACUCGAUGAUUUUUUAUAUUGUUUAUGAUUUCCUGUACCUUCAGGUUUAUUAAUAAAAUAGAUUUUUGAUUAAAAAAACCUUUUCUAUGAAAACAUAUAAAAUUGGCUGCCACCUAAAAAUGAUGGCACUAGCCACGCCUAUUUAAAAUGAUAGUAAAUUUUAAGUAUUUCCUUAGUCUGUGAAUUAUGAGAUGUACAUCAUUAUUUUUUAGAAUAUUUUUAAUAAUUUUGGAAACUUUUGCUGAGUGGGCCAUCAUGUGGAAUUUAGCAUAUGAAAUGAUAAUUAUAACUUAGUUAAUAUUUGAAAAUUUUAAAAUAUAGAUCUCAAAAUAUUCAAAAACACACAAAAAUAUUUUCUUUCUUUCCUUUUUUUUCUUCCUCUCCCACCUCAACCCACCACCAUCUCUGUCACCAGUAGUCGGCAUCGAUGUCGUCAACUGCUCUUUUUUCUCCUUUCCUCUCUCUCUCUCCUUCUCCUCCUUCUGUGACAAUCCCAUCUCUUGGUAGGGCGAAUCUUAGGGUAUCAGCGGACUGCCUGCCCAGCUCUCGCUAGGGUUCGGUCGAUCAAAGAACUAGCAACUCAAUAAAACUAAUGAAAUAUCUUCAAAACAAAGUGUGCAAACCCCUAAUGGAAACAUAAUCGCCACGCCAACUUUCCAAACUUAGAAUAUAGAGUUAAAUGUCAAACUUACCACUCCACACUUAUUUUACAUAACAUACGUCGAACUUAUAAAUUCAAACUUACAAGAGUCAAAAGUAAGGUCUUCUAAACAAAAGGUUACAAUCCAAAGUACAAGUUCAAAGCAAAAGAUAAAGCUAUGAAAGUUCUUGAUCAAAAGUCCAUCCUCGAUCUGUUAAGGAAAACAAAAGGAGUGGGGUGAGUUAAAACUCAGUGAAGUUCCAAAUAAACAUGUAAGCACAUAGUCAAUUAAAGGCGUAAUAUAAACAAGUAACUACCAUAUUGUACUAUAACGAUUAAAUCACAGUUCAAUUCAAGGAUAUGGGUGGCUUUCAAAAGCCAAAUCCAUUUGAACUUGAUCAUGACAAGAAUCCGUUGACUCUCCAUCAACGUUUGCGUUUAAAGAAUGUAAUGUCCGUAGAACACCACUUACUCUAAUUUUCAUCCACCAGUCAACCCCCUUACGGGGCCCGAACACCACAAACAGUAAUUAGGUAAUACUCGAGUAUACCGAAUCUAGAUUCAGUAAACAAUCUUUAGGGUUUAUCGGUUUUCUCGAUCAAACCCUUGCUGGCUCGAUACAAACGACUCACCUAUGAGGUUGGGUACCGAAACAGUCACAGUAGUUUAUGGGAUAUCAGCCAAACAUGUGACGCCCUCAUUUCUCCUUAGGGUGAACUCAAGAGUAUCAGCGGGAUGCCUGCCCAACUCUCGCCAGGAGUCGAUACAAUUUCAAUUCAAAAUUCAAGAAUAAUAACUAAUAAUAAAAGUCGAAGUAAAGAAAAGAAGUCGCUUCUAUACAUAAGUGUUCAAUCUUACAUCACAAGUUUCAAAAUACAUCAACUUUCUCAAAAUAUACAACUUCCAAAAGUCGUUUAAUCAAAUACAUUCAAAACCCUAAUCAAAAGACCAUCGAGUCGGCAUCUCCCCAAUUCUUUCCAUUUCAACUCAUGUUAAGGAAAACAAAUCUAAUGGGAUAAGCUAACGCUCAGUGAGGCCAAGAAAACAUGCAAGCACAUAAUUCAAGUAGCAAUAACAUUUAUACGAGAAAUAAUGCUAUAACAUUCAAGUAGUUCACAAAAUAAGACAAAGUACACUUGAUAAGGAUACGGGAGCUCUCAGGAGUUAGGUUCCACUUGCUUUGUCAAGUCUCGAGAAUAUACCUUCACGUGAUGACACUCCGUCACUCGGGUAGGUAUAUUUUGUUCGUAGAACUCCACUUUACUUCACAAAUCCCAUUCACGGUUACACUCCCUGUUCCGGGCCUGCUCAUCAUAUAAAAAGGUGAUUCUACUCGAGUAUGCCAAGCGAGAUCUUUUAAAUAGAUCAAGCUUACGAAUAUUCUCAUGGUUCACCAAGCUUCUCGAUCAAGCCUAUGCCGGCUCGAGUCACAGGGUUAGCCUAUGAGUUUGGGCGUCCCCCGAAUACGAAUACGAAUAUGAAUAUAAGUCGAUGAGCAACGCUUCAAUCGAUGAUUCCAAAUACGAAUCACAUAUAUGAAUCACAAAUACGAAUCACAUCCACAUCACUUCGCACAAGUCAAAUAUGGAUUCACAUAGCAAAAUUCGAAUAUAAUUUCAUUUGAAAGAGAACGAGUGCGGUAAAGUACACACUCAUCUCUAAAAUUCCAAAUUCACAUAACGGAUAAGAAGCAAGUCAAGUACUUAACAACAAAUUCAUGCACUUGACACUCACCAAGUCAAAAGUGAGUAAACAAGCAAAUAUGCUUUUAGAUGUCCGCUCCGAGAUUCUCUUGAAGAUUCUCUUGAGCACCUAAAGAAAUAAUGAUUUUCUAUUAUUUACAACCAUGCAUCAACCAAGGAUGAACGUACACUUGUUUAGAACAAAGACAAGGUCUCAAAAGUGAACUUUAAUCGCUCAAAAUCAAGAUUCGAAAGUGAGGAUGCAAAGUUUCAAGAGAAACUUGCCUCUCCCGUGAAAGCGGGUUUAAAACGGUUUAUCAAUAUCGAGGGAGGGUGACAAGUUCUCAAAAUUUCAUUUCCUAAGAACUUAUGAAGUUUCAACUUUGCAUGAUAACUUGGAAAAAUCGAAUCUUGAGUUUGACAUGUCUAAAAAUGAAAAAAUUUACACCGUUGAAAACUAGGUUCAAAGUACUAAAAGUCCCUAGAAGAUACUUUUCCAAGAUUCUAAACGGAAAGCAUUCAUUUUUUCAGUUCAAAGUUGCGGAUUGAACAAGCAAGACAGAAUCAGUCUUGAUUUUUGGCAAUCUUUGAAAAUUUGGUCAAAAUUCACAGAAAGUGAACCAGCUUUUGAAUUUGUAACAAAAUAAGAGUUUCAAACAAGGUUUCAAACACAACAAACUGAAUUAAAUUCGGAGUUUUGAGCAACAAGAUAUCACAACCUAAAGUCGGUUAAUUUCACUACUGCAACACUGAAUUUCCAGAUUUGAAAAGCCAUCUUUGGAACAUCAUUUGGAUAUCGAAAUGGUUUUAAAAUUACACCAAAUUUGGUAUACUUGAUCUUCCAUAUGAGGACUAAUUCUCUAUCAAAUUUUCCGCAAAAAAUACCACGAAAAGGCAGUUAACAAUAUGGCCAAAGUUCAUGAAAUUUUCAAAGCUAAUCUGCCAACCAUAGUUAUCUUUCUUUUUCAAACAUUUUGUUCAAUGAAAUCAACCCCAAACUACUUCAUUUUUGAAAUCAAGAUUCCAUAAACAUCUGAUGAGCAAUGGAUGGGUGAUUGACACCAAAAUUUUUGAAAUAUAACCUUUCAAAAUAGAUUUGACCAUUCGGCCAACAAGAAAGGAAAGAUUUCCAGUUUUCCAGUUUUGUUGCACCUUCGAAAUCAGAUCACAACUCACUCAAUACAAGUUCAAAUUAAGAAUCGUUUAGGGUGUUGUAAACUAAGUUCAAAAUGCUACAUUUUAUCAGAAAGGAUCGUUUCCAAAAUCAGUUCACAAGUGAGAGAAAAUAUAGCCACAAGAUGCAGCUUCUCCAUUCCUCUUGGACAGAGAGUCACAACAGGACAGUCAACUUUGUUGAAUCACUACGGUUCAUUCAGUCCGAACUAGCAGGUGAUUUUUAUACCGUUAGAAAGCUAUGAAUGUCUAGUUUCAAAUGCCACAAAUUUCACUCCAUUUUGACUUUUGCACAAAGAGAUAUGUUCAGGCAAAGAAGUAUUGUUCGACUGUCCUGAACACCAUUUCCAGUUUUCUUCUUUUUUCGAAAACCCUAGUUUUGAGCAACCAAUCAAAUGAAUUUUGGAAGACAUUUUGUACACACAAUAUACAACAUAUAUCCAUCAAUUUCACAGUCAACAAGUAUCAAAAAUUUCUAUUAAAAUAGAGAAACAUGACCAGAAAUUUUCGGCUAGCUCAAAUCCCACCAAUUCCUUCGGUUUCUCUUCAUUUUCUAACCAUAAUCCUCUCAUAUAACACAUGAACACAAAAUCAAGAAUUUUAAUCCUCAAUUCAACUACCUGUGAUCCACCUCAAGGCCGAUAACCUAAAGAUUAAACCGAGAAAUGAAAUUCCUCAAGUCCUCUAGCUUAUUUCUUGCUUAGGGUUUCAAACCCAUGCAAAACCAACCAUGAUUUCCUGAAGGAAAUGGAAAGAUUGGUAGGGUUCAAGGGUUACUUCUAACUCUAGAUGAGUAAUCAGAUUUUCCACCUCCUCCAAAAAGCUCCACUAGGUGAUGUCUUUCUCCAAGCUAGAGUGAUUCUCCAAGAACAAGAAGAUUGGAUGAAAUUUUUCUAGCAAAAUGGAAGCUUGAAAUGAAGUGUUUUCUUCUUCCUUUUCCUUCGCUGGUUUUGGCUGACCAAAGAGAGAAAGAGAGAGUGUUUUGUAGGCAUGAAUCUUGUCUUGGAAGCUUUAAGAAAUUGUGGCCAAGAAGCUUUGAAAAAGUCAACUUCAAAUAGUGUCGUGCGCGGGUUUCAUACCACCAUUUUCUCUCUUGUUUGUUGCACUUGUACACUGAACCUCCAAUAUAAUUCCUUUAACACUAUAAUUAUUCACUCUUACUAGUUUAAUAUAAAUUUAUUAAAUCUCCACUUAGCCACGCGGCACGAUUUUCGAGAAACUUUUGACGCGCGUGUGAUAAAGCGAAUUUUAAAAGAAAUUCAUGCAACUAAAAUAUAAUUAACUAAUAAUAGGGUAAAUAAUUAUAAAAAUGACUAUUUUAAGAAUAAAAACCUGAGUCCUUACAAAACAACUCAUAUAUAGUCAAAUAUAGGUAAGACUCGAGUAUACCGGAUCCAGAUUCAAUAAACAGUUCUCAGGGUUUAUCGGCCUUCUCGACCAAACCAUUGCUGGCUCGAUACAACCGACUCACCUAUGAGGUUAGGUACCCAAACAGUCACAGUAGUUGAUGGGAUAUCACCCAAACAACUCAUAUACAGUCAAAUAUAGAGAAAUCAUAUCUCAUGAUAGCAGUAUACAGAGUUUCAGUGAACUCAAAGGAGGUCGAGUGUGAUAAAGUACAUGUUGGCCUCAAAUUUGUCAAAAUAAUUGUAACAGGUAACAGGUAAUGGAACACUCACCUGUCAAGCAAUGCAGUGAUCAAACAUCAAGUCCUUUGGUUACGAUCACCUCCAUUUCCCAAUCCUAAGGUAACGAGUGAAAUCGUUAACAAUAUAGGUUCAUUUCCAACCCAAAUGUGAGCUCAUUAGGUGACCAAGUGAGUGGUUAAAUCUACUCAAUUCACCAUACAAGUUAGGCCCAAAAUGCAGUAAAAGGUCAUAAGAAAACAAGUUUGACAAGUGCAAUAAAGUUGGGCAAAAGAAAAUUCUCAUUCAAGUUCAAAGUCUACUUCGUGGGUAAAAUAGUUGUGCCAGCUCAGUCUAAGAAAAAUGGCCAUAUCUCAUUGUAGGAAGGUUGAAAUCAGGUGCCGUUAGUGACGUUGGAAACUAGACUCAUAGGGCUUUCCAACGGUAUCAAAUUCACACUCUAGUUUAUCUUCUAUCAAUACCAGUGAUCCAGGGAAAUCGGCUGAUUUUCCAAUUCUGAUCAGCCCUAAAACCCUAGCAAAGUUACACUAGUUCUUGUUGCUAACUUCAUUUGUUUUUGUUCAAAUUCAUCCAAAUCAAUCUCCUAGGGUUCAUAUACAGGGGAGCAAGUUAACUAGUACCAUUGGAGCUCAAAAUGCAACACACAUAAUUGAUUAAAAGAGCCAAAACAGUCUAGUCAACCAAAGGAAUCAAAACAGUCCACUACUUGCUCAAAACCACCACUUUAAUUGCUUCAUUUCGAUCUCAACUCACACAUAAACUUAACCAAUGUUUAGCCAAGAUUCUUAGGCUUAAUUAGGGUGCAAAUGAACCACAAAAUCAAGGAGAAACCUCCCCUUCCAAAACCAGUCAGCCAAGGGAAAGGAGAACAGUCCACUAGUUCACUUGUUUCACCAACUUUCAUCCUUUCAUGAAGACUAAAUUAUACAUCAUAUCAAGUGUUAUCCUUAACUCAAAAAGGAUCUAAAACAUGUUAAUUCAUCAAGUAAACCAUAAACAAAACUUUAACAAUUAAUCAAACACAUGGUAGGCUAAACAACCAACCCUACUACCACUUAUUUAGUUCAAGAAAUUUAACCACAAGUAACAUCCAUACAACUCCUAGUUUACCAUCAAAGCUUUAAAUACUUGAUAUAACACCAUAAAACCAAGAGUUAAGGAUCAUAUACCUCUUUUGUAACAAACUUGAAUCACCCAAAACAACCACCAAACCAAAAGCUCCAAAUUUGAAAUCACACACUAGGGUUGAAGGUUGAUCACUCAACUAACUCAAGUCCUUCACAUUUGAUUUUUGAUCAAGAUCAAUGUAAGAACCCGUAAAUUCCCUAAUAAUUUUUCUAGGGUUUUUCCCCUUUAAUGGCUUGUUUUCUGCAUUUUUUUGCUUAGGAAAAUUUUCCUUGUGAAUUUUAUGAGUAAUUAUAGUUUUUAGAUGAUUUUUCUAGUAUUGGAGAGUUUUUGAAAAAUUAAGAGUAUAUAAUGGACGUGGGACCCACUAGUGCGAAAAGUUCGAAAAAAUUCGGCCAAUUAGGUUAAAUUCCGGAUACUGUGUGAAAUUUAUCGGGUGUUAAGAGAUAAGUAGAUGUUGAGAUGUGAUUGAUGUGAGAGGGAAUAAACGGAUAGAGUUGCAUUUAUGAAGGUGACAAGUGUCACCUUGUGAGUGGUGGCACUUGUAGACAACUAUUCAUGGCUUUUUACCUUUUGACUAAUUGGUUAAAUAUCUCACAAAUUAACCAAAAUUCACUCUUUUCUUACCUCCUUGUGGCCGGCCCUCUCUCUAGCAAAGAAGGAAGGAAAACCUCUUCAAAGUUUGGCAAUUAUCUAGCUCAAUCUUCCAAAACCAAUCACAUAAACUAGUUUCUACUCCAUAAAAUCCCUCCCUUUGGUGCUAGUAAGUGUUUUUGUGGAAGUGUUCAAGGAAGCUAAGGUGUUCUACAACUCCUUUUCUCUUGUUUACUAGGUAAGUGGUGCUUGAACUUCCUCCUACACCUAAUGAUGCUUAAUUUGUGCCUAGUGGUGGCUAAAGUGCUGAAAUUUGUGGUUUAUUUCUUGGUUUGAGAUGAAUUGGUGAAGUUUUUAUUUUAUUGAUGAAUUUUCUGGUUUAAUGUGAUCAUGAUGUUAUGGUUAUUUAUGAUGGUUGGUAAUGAGGGGUAAUGACUCUAGUAGGUGUAAAUAAUUGGUAAUUGCAACCAAUUUUGGGUUUGGAAGGAAUUUGAGGAAGUUAGGGUUUCAUAACCCCCUUUUCUGUCCGGUUUUGUAUCAUAUGGUUAGAGGCCGAAUUGACCUUUGCUUAAAACAUGAAAUUUGUAGGUAUUGAUGUGUUUGAGGUGCCUGUAAAACUUUAGGUCAUUUGGAGUAGUGUAGAGUGAGAUAUAUCGAUUUUACUGUUGCUGUUCUGGGUUGAUCAGAAUGUACGAACUGCGCUUGUAAUCGUCUGUUUUGACUGGAAUUACUUUGGAUUUGGAUGUUGGUGUCUUCUGAUGAAAUGUAUCUGGAUGUCUUGGUUACCGCAUGCCUUUGGAAUCAAUACAUUUGGAUCUGUAUAGACUGAGUUGGACUAAUUACAGCAUAGUGUGAUUUGUAAACCUGCAAUUACGGUUCUGGUUUGGUAUUCUGCAUUUUUGACCUAGUUGUGCUAGGAUUUGGACUGAGUGGCCUUCUACAUUGUUGUAGCCCUGUCUUUUAGCUUCGAGAUGGUGGGUUUUACACCCUCAUCCGAUAAGCGUAGCGCAUUUUGUGCCAUUACCGCAUAAGGAGGCCAAAACUGUUUUGUUGUUAGGGCUAAUAUAGUUACAUUUCUUGAUUUUCUGGUUUGCUAUCAUGCUUAUAUAUGCAUAUGAAAUCCUAUUAGGGUUGUGAUUGGCAUGGCUUUAUGACUCGUUAUCGAGUCUCAUGGUAUUUGUUUACGUGUUCUAGGGCGUGACGUUAGUGCACGACGUACUUUGGACGGUGGUGCAUGAAACCUCACCUACGUGAGUGGUGAGUGCACUACUCACUUGAAUGCUUACAAUGUAGCUUUGCUAUAUGUGAUUGUGAUGCCUUGAAGGCUUAUUUGGAUAUUGGAAUUGAUUAAGGUAAGGGUGUACUUGACCGCCCUCACCCCUUUUGAUAGUAUUACUGAUUAUUUACCGUUUCACUGUAUUACUAAACUUGAUAUAUGAGUUAUUGAAUUCCAUUUCAUGGAAACCUGAUUUGGUGUCGUUUGGACGAAUAUCCAACGGCCUUACUGUAUUACUGAGCUCAACCCCGUCGGUAGUCACUUGAAUCGAGCCGGCGAGGGCUUGGUCGUGAAAAUUGACGUGCCACGGGGACUGUACUGGGGAAUCUUGUAGUAAUGAGACUCUCGAUUCCGGUAAACUCGAGUAUUACCAAAAGUUACUGAUUGGAGUGCGGGCCCGGUUGGGGUAUGUUGGGUGGAAGGAAUGGAAGUAAAGUGGGGUCUACGGUUUGGUACUUUUAACAUUGACGGAGGGUCAAUGAGGUUGGAUCAAGAAUAUAAGCGAGGAAAUGGGCUCUUGAGAGCCGUCCGUAUCCUUUCACUGAUUUGAUUUACUUCUUAUUUGCAUACUUGAACUGAACGGUUACGCUUAUGUGAUUUUUGAUGCUUAUAUAGUAGUAACUCACUGGGUUUAAGCUCAUUCCGUUCCAUUUGUUUUCCUUACAGGAAAAUGACCACUUUUGGAAAGGUUAUACUUGUUGGUUGUCAAGUUGAGCUUAUGUAAAUGUCUUUUGAAUACCUCUUUGAAUGAAACCCUAAUGUGUAUUGGGUUCAUUUUCUUUUGAUUGGCAAACCGAACCUGUAUAUCCAUGAUGAAUCAUUUUGAUAUGCUGUUUUGGCUUGUAAAUGUUACAUUCCAAUGUAUAUAUGUUUGGUUGAUAUUUGGUUGGAUUUCGGAUUAACUCAUAUUUCAAACGGCAAAGGAAAAUUUUGGCUACUCUCGGCCUAGUAUCCGGAUUCUGACGUGGCCGGUACUGUUCAUCAUCGGCUUCGAUUUUCAUUUUUUUUAUUUUGUGAUUUUGACUUGGUUGCGCGCAUUGGUAAGUUCCGGAACGUAUUAGAUUGACGUAAACUGAUCCGUAGUCCUGACGAGAGCUGGGCAGGCAUUCCGCCAACCCCUUUGGUUCGCCUUAGGGGAAGGUGGGGCUGUCACAGUUGGUAUCAGAGCCAGGAUCGCGUGGUCUCUGCGCGGAGUGAGACUGGGCCAAGUGGUGUUGUGGUCCUAAUUUGAUGAAUAUGUCUAAGUGCUCGUUUGAGCAUAAGUUAUGAACCGGGCAUGUGAUAAGUGUACGAAUCAUUAUCAUGGGACUCGAGGAAGUUAGGUAUGUAUGUCGGGUAGGAAUCUUUAAUAAGGAUGGUUUACUCUUGGGACCGGCCGGCUCGAUUUGUGAAUUAUCUUAGAUGGAAUUCUUGCGCCCGGAUACGAAAGAUAUGAGGGCCUAGGUUAGAAAGGAUUUGGUGAACUAGAAAGGCCAUUCCUCGGUGGAUCGUCUAUGUUUGUACUUAACUUAACUGGCUGUAUAUAUGUGUGUGGCUUAAUUUUGACCGGCUUGUAUAUAUAUGUUUUGAUCUUGUUUGGAAUGUAUAAAUGUGUGUUAUCAUAAAAGUUUUGAGUGUUACUUACAUGCAUCGUGCUUAUUUUGGUUUAGUAUUAUUUCCUAGACCAAGUAAAACUCAUGGAGGGUACACGGAGUGGUCGGGGACGUAGGCGCAGAACUAGACAACCCACACCGGUUAGGAGUACGGGGGAAACCUCUACUGGACCCAAUCUGGAACCGCAAGUAAACCCUAAUGUGCAAAUAGCUGCUGCUAUGCAGCAAAUGAUGGACUUGCUGGCACAAGUGGUGCAGCAACAGGGCCAAAACCCAAACCCUAACCCUGGAAACCUUGGUAACCAUAUCGAGGGCGAAGACAGAGCUCUUGAAUGAUUCCAAAAGUUUGCUCCGCCAAAGUUUGUUGGGGGACCCGACCCAGACGUUGCCGAAAGAUGGUUUGAAAAGAUGGUGGAUAUAUUUGCAGCCCUACACUACCCUGACGAACGGCAGGUGACUUUUGUCGUGUUCCAGCUUGAGGGGGCAGCUCGUUCCUGGUGGAACGUAAUCCGACAGAAAUGGGAAAGGGAGCAGACACCCAAGACUUGGGUGAACUUCAUCCGAGAGUUUAAUGCAAAGUUUUUCCCUCCUCUAGUCCAGGAGAGGAAGGAGGACGAGUUCAUUCGACUCCGCCAAGGAGCUCGAACUGUGGCGGAAUAUGAGAGCCAAUUCACCCGCCUAUCCAAAUUUGCGCCCGAACUCAUCAUGACCGAGCAACGAAGAAUACGGCGAUUUGUCCAGGGCCUGAACGUAGAAAUCCAAAAGGACCUCGCGGCGGCCCAAAUUAACGCCUUCAGCGAAGCAGUAGAGAAGGCACAACGAGUAGAGAAUGCUAGGCUCCAGGCGAAAAAGAGAGGAUUUCCUGGAAAUAGUUCGGGGCAGGGGGAUGAAAGUACCCCUCCCAAGUUUGGGCGGGAAACGGGAGGAGUAAGGAUGCCGGGAGUGUCACAAGAGAGCCCGUCAAGAGGAGGCUCGGCUUCUGCAGCACGCGGACCUUGCGGGUAUUGCGGAAAAUUAAACCACUCGGAGGACAAUUGCUGGAAGAAAGGAGGAAAAUGCUUGCGCUGUGGAAGUGCCGAACAUCAGAUUGCUAACUGUCCAACUCGCCUGCUUGAGCGGAGAGGGACUCUGCCACCAACCACGACCAACCCUGACCAGUCGAACUGGGACAAGGAUGGAUCGAAAGUGUCCUCUCGGGUGUACUCCUUAGAAUAACAUCAAGUUUUUGACCCAUUAGAGGACGUGGAAGGUAAGAAUUUAAUGAACCUGGCCAGUGAAAGGGUACAGAUCUGUUAGCUAAAUAUGAUGCUCAAUUUAGUCAGGAGAAGGAAGUACUAAAAUUUUUGUAACCCGGAGUAGCCAAUGAUAAGGAAUUUGGAGGACGAAAUUCUUUUAAGGGGGAGAGAGUGUGAGAACCCGUAAAUUCCCUAAUAAUUUUCCUAGGGUUUUUCCCCUUUAAUGGCUUGUUUUCUGCAUUUUCUGGCUUAGAAAAAUUUUCCUGGUGAAUUUUAUGAGUAAUUAUAAUUUUUAGAUGAUUUUUCUAGUAUUGGAGAGUUUUUGAAAAAUUAAGAGUAUAUAAUGGACGUGGGACCCACUAGUGCGAAAAGUUCGGAAAAAUUCGGCCAAUUAGGUUAAAUUCCGGAUACUGUGUGAAAUUUAUCGGGUGUUAAGAGAUAAGUAGAUGUUGAGAUGUGAUUGAUGUGAGAGGGAAUAAAAGGAUAGAGUUGCAUUUAUGAAGGUGACAAGUGUCACCUUGUGAGUGGUGGCACUUGUAGACAACUAUUCAUGGCUUUUGACCUUUUGACUAAUUGGUUAAAUAUCUCACAAAUUAACCAAAAUUCACUCUUUUCUUACCUCCUUGUGGCCGGCCCUCUCUCUAGCAAAGAAGGAAGGAAAACCUCUUCAAAGUUUGGCAAUUAUCUAGCUCAAUCUUCCAAAACCAAUCACAUAAACUAGUUUCUACUCCAUAAAAUCCCUCCCUUUGGUGCUAGUAAGUGUUUUUGUGGAAGUGUUCAAGGAAGAUAAGGUGUUCUACAACUCCUUUUCUCUUGUUUACUAGGUAAGUGGUGCUUGAACUUCCUCCUACACCUAAUGAUACUUAAUUUGUGCCUAGUGGUGGCUAAAGUGCUGAAAUUUGUGGUUUAUUUCUUGGUUUGAGAUGAAUUGGUGAAGUUUUUAUUUUAUUGAUGAAUUUUCUGGUUUAAUGUGAUCAUGAUGUUGUGGUUAUUUAUGAUGGUUGGUAAUGAGGGGUAAUGACUCUAGUAGGUGUAAAUGAUUGGUAAUUGCAACCAAUUUUGGGUUUGGAAGGAAUUUGAGGAAAUUAGGGUUUCAUAACCCCCUUUUCUGUCAGGUUUUGUAUCAUAUGGUUAAAGGCCGAAUUGGCCUUUGCUUAAAACAUGAAAGUUGUAGGUAUUGAUGUGUUUGAGGUGCCUGUAAAACUUUAGCUCAUUUGGAGUAGUGUAGAGUGAGAUAUAUCGAUUUUACUGUUGCUAUUCUGGGUUGAUCAGAAUGUACGAACUGCGCUUGUAAUCGUCUGUUUUGACUGGAAUUGCUUUGGAUUUGGAUGUUGGUGUCUUCUGAUGAAAUGUAUCUGGAUGUCUUGGUUACCGCAUGCCUUUGGAAUCAAUGCAUUUGGACCUGUAUAGACUGAGUUGGACUAAUUACAGCAUAGUGUGAUUUGUAAACCUGCAAUUACGGUUCCGGUUUGGUAUUCUGCAUUUUUGACCUAGUUGUGCUAGGAUUUGGACUGAGUGUCCUUCUACAUUGUUGUAGCCCUGUCUUUUAGCUUCGAUAUGGUGGGUUUUACACCCUCAUCCGAUAAGCGUAGCGCAUUUUGUGCCAUUACCGCAUAAGGAGGCCAAAACUGUUUUGUUGUUAGGGCUAAUAUAGUUACAUUUCUUGAUUUUCUGGUUUGCUAUCAUGCUUAUAUAUGCAUAUGAAACCCUAUUAGGGUUGUGAUUGGCAUGGCUUUAUAACUCGUUAUCGAGUCUCAUGGUAUUUGUUUACGUGUUCUAGGGCGUGACGUUAGUGCACGACGUACUUUGGACGGUGGUGCAUGAAACCUCACCUACGUGAGUGGUGAGUGCAUUACUCACUUGAAUGCUUACAAUGUAGCUUUGUUAUAUGUGAUUGUGAUGCCUUGAAGGCUUAUUUGGAUAUUGGAAUUGAUUAAGGUAAGGGUGUACUUGACCGCCCUCACCCCUUUUGAUAGUAUUACUGAUUGUUUACCGUUUCACUGUAUUACUAAACUUGAUAUAUGAGUUAUUGAAUUCCAUUUCAUGGAAACCUGAUUUGGUGUCGUUUGGACGAAUAUCCAACGGCCUUACUGUAUUACUGAGCUCAACCCCGUCGGUAGUCACUUGAAUCGAGCCGGCGAGGGCUUGGUCGUGAAAAUUGACGUGCCACGGGGACUGUACUGGGGAAUCUUGUAGUAAUGAGACUCUCGAUUCCGGUAAACUCGAGUAUUACCAAAAGUUACUGAUUGGAGUGCGGGCCCGGUUGGGGUAUGUUGGGUGGAAGGAAUGGAAGUAAAGUGAGGUCUACGGUUUGGUACUUUUAACAUUGACGGAGGGUCAAUGAGGUUGGAUCAAGAAUAUAAGCGAGGAAAUGGGCUCUUGAGAGCCGUCCGUAUCCUUUCACUGAUUUGAUUUACUUCUUAUUUGCAUACUUGAACUGAACGGUUACGCUUAUGUGAUUUUUGAUGCUUAUGUGGUAGUAACUCACUGGGCUUAAGCUCAUUCCGUUCCAUUUGUUUUCCUUACAGGAAAAUGACCACUUUUGGAAAGGUUAUACUUGUUGGUUGUCAAGUUGAGCUUAUGUAAAUGUCUUUUGAAUAGCUCUUUGAAUGAAACCCUAAUGUGUAUUGGGUUCAUUUUCUUUUGAUUGGCAAACCGAACCUGUAUAUCCAUGAUGAAUCAUUUUGAUAUGCUGUUUUGGCUUGUAAAUGUUACAUUCCAAUGUAUAUAUGUUUGGUUGAUAUUUGGUUGGAUUUCGGAUUAACUCAUAUUUCAAACGGCAAAGGAAAAUUUUGGCUACUCUCGGCCUAGUAUUCGGAUUCUGACGUGGCCGGUACUGUUCAUCAUCGGCUUCGAUUUUCAUUUUUUUUAUUUUGUGAUUUUGACUUGGUUGCGCGCAUUGGUAAGUUCCGGAACGUAUUAGAUUGACGUAAACUGAUCCGUAGUCCUGGCGAGAGCUGGGCAGGCAGUCCGCCAACCCCUUUGGUUCGCCUUAGGGGAAGGUGGGGCUGUCACAAUCAAACUAGGGUUAGAAAGUAUAAAAAUAGAGUUUUCUUUGCUUCUUUUGGAAGCUAAGGAGGUUCGGCCAUAAGGAGGAAAUAAGGGAGCCAAUAUGGCUUAAAUUUCCUCUAAUUCUUUGGUCAAAUAAGUUGGAUGGUUGGGGUUUUGCUACAUGGCUCAAUCUUGGCCAUUCUCUCUCUAAUCUUUGCCAAAUCAUGUUUCUAUCCUCCAAAUGUUUCCAUUGUCUUACUAACACCCCUAAACUAUCAUAUAAAGUCCCAACCACAAUAAAAGGAAUAUUUGGUCAUAGAGUAUGUGGUGAAAUAAAAUAAUACCAAGUCAAGGAAAUGUUUUAAUUUAAAUAAAAGAUAAUGAAAUGCAAUACAAGGGAAUUAUUAUAAUGCAUGUAGAAUGCAAUGCAAGGAUAGAUUUUAAGUGAUUUAAUUAUAGGGUAAGGCAAGUGAUUCAGGAAAAAUUUUGUUUUUAAGUGAGGGUUCUCACACCUUCUCCCCUCUCCCCCGCCACCUUCUAGCCCUUCCCUCUCUCGACCACCCUCCCCCUCCCCCCAAUGCGAUCUGGGUCAUGCGACCAAAGCUGAUCGCAUAACCAGAUCUAGUCACGUGACCAAGGAUGCACCGGGGCGAGAGAGAGAGUGGCCGGGGAAGGGAGGGGAAGAGGUGGCAGGGGAGAGCGGAGAAUGAGAGGAGAGGAAGGGAGAGAGAGAAAAAAGAAAAAAAGAGGGACUACCCUCCGUUGGUGACUGGUGGCCGAGGGGGAGGGAGGGAAGAGAGGAAAGGAAAGAAAACAAAAAAGAAAAAAAAAGGAAAAGAAGAGGGAAAAAAAGAAAGUUUUUUUGUUUUGUUAAAAAGGAAAGUUUUUACACACCUCAAAAUUUUUUUUUACAAAUUCUACAAUAAGUUAUAGUAAAGUUUUAGAUAAUCAUCUAAAAAACUCAUUUACCAAAUGAGGCCUAAGUUUAAAUUUUAGUUUCAAUAUUUGGUGAAAAUAAUGUCAUAUUUUGACUUUAAAAAGUGAAAAUUUUUCUUCUAAAGUGACAUCUAUGCAUAAUUUAAAAUAGGUCCUGGAAUAUGUAAUCUACUAAUUUUUAAGGGGCAUGUAGAUAGAGAAAGGAGCUUUAUAAACUCUAGAGGUGAAAUAUUGAUAAAAUGGAAAAAAAAGUAAAAGAUUUUUUAGUUGUGGCUAAUGGCAAGUACAAAUAUGGUGCAUUUUUUAAAAAAAUAUUCAAGUAUUUUACCCUACUAUAAUCAUUUGUCAAUCUUUAGGUUUGGGGAGGAAUGGAUUGCCCAACCUCGUGUAUGUAGCUCCCCUAGAUUCAGACUAUUCUAAAAUUGAAUAUUAUAUAUAUUUUACCAUCAUUUUUUUGUACUGUUAUGUUCAUAUUCUUUAUUGAGAAUCUAGUCAUACAGCUGCUUAUCCUUCACUUAGGAGAAAGUUCAUAUUUAAGGUAAAUUUAAAUAUUUAGAUGGGUUAAUUGCAGUGAAUCAUGUGGUGUGAGUUGGAAUUUACCUUUUAAUCUUAUUUUUUGUGCCACUUUGAAUUCUUCUAUAUGUGAACUUAAGAUCCAACUUACCUUAAACAUAAGUGUAAGGUUCUUUAUUUAACUUUCAAAUCCUCACCCUUAGUCUUUCUCCUUACAAGUUCUUCAGUCACUCAUGAACUCAUAAUAAUAAUAAUAAUAAUAAUAAUAAAAUUCUUCUAUUAGUCCACAUAUACAUUUUGAUACAAAUCUGCCCAAAGGUAUGAACUCGUAUCCCACACGGCCCGAAUCUAGACGAAGAAAUCAAGUUAAUUGUGGAAUAACACUUGACCCUUCUAAACCCUAAGAUUGCGAACCUUGAAUUGAAUUUUAACCCACAAUCGAAUGAUUUAGUGAACCAAUGUUGUUGGUAGAAGAACGCCACAACCAAGGUGUGUACUUGAUUGAUAAGUUCUAAUUGAAUAACUUAAGAAAUCUCUCAAAUAUUCAAGAAGGGCUCUCUUGGAGCAACAGAAAAGUGAUCACUCACAUAUUUUUAGAAAAUUCUCAAUAAUAAUAAACAUUGGAAAGACUAGGCUAUUUAUAGCCUUACAAUGACUCAAACCCUAAUGUGAUUUGGACUAAAAAUCCAACUAACAUUUGGCCUCUUUGAAGACUAAUCUGGCAAAAUAUUAACUCUAUAAUUAAACCACUAAAACAGCAACUAAAUUGACAAUUAAACCCUUCACUUGACACUACCAAUAAACAAAAUCACUUACUAACAAAACAACUAACUAAACUAAAUUGCUUCUACUCUUUAUGAAUGACAACAAGUUGUAGUAAAAUAACACCACUAAUUCAAUUUGGAAUAAUCUUUAUAGAUUUGGAAGGGAGCCGAUUCUUUAUGUUUGUAUCAUUUCCCUUGUGCUUAGAGAACAGCAACGUUGGGAAUAGAUGAAGGAUCACGAGCCAAGCUAUAUGCCUUUGGUCAGCCUCGGUUGCUUUCAAACAAAGACAUUCGCCAAGACAGGAACCAGCUUGUGUAUAACUUGUGGAAAUUCCAAGUUGCACUUCAAAGCUCUCUUGUCAGCCUUUGGUCAUGGAUUUGCACAUUGGGACUUUGAUUGUGCAAAGGUGUAAAACCCAUCACUAGUUGACAUUGAUUUGGAUCAUCUCACAUGGACAAAAUGGGAGUGUGACGGCCCCACUUCUCCCUAAGACGAACCAGAGGGUUGGCGGGCCGUCUGCCUAGCUCUCGCCAAGACUCACGCAAGCAAUCUAACCCAAAUCCUUGCGAAGAAUAUCCUAAACUAUUACAAUAUCGCUUUCCUCCAAAAUGGUCAAUAACCAAACCACAUUAACUUCAGAGAUAAUAGCAUUUCAAUAUAGCCAAUCGUCGACUCUUAAGAACCUUACGCGUUACAACCCAAGUCUAAAGUCAUACCAUCCCAAACAUACAAGUUCAUACAACACAAGUACGAACAUACAAGCCGAAUAUCUGAAUCAGGGAUUUCACCUUUCCAGCUUCAAGUGGCAAUCCAAAGCAUUAAGUACACCUAGCUUAACGUAUCUCCAAUCCGAUACAUGACAUAAGUAACAUUAGACAUUACAAAUCGCAAAGCGAAGUUAUAGUAUUCAUUUACAUCCAUAAGAAAAUCUAAGUAAAUUGUAAACCUCUCAAUUUCCAGAACCUGUCAAGGAAAACAAAUAUACACGGUGAGCCAAUAGCUCAUGAGGCCAAGAAAACACACAUGCACGCACGUUGUCCAAGUAGAACAAUAAGGUUCAAGUAAUUUACAAUUCAAGCAAGGCAAGUAAACAGAAACAAUUCAAGGAUAUAGGAGCUCUCAGGAGCUAUUUUCCACUUGCUUUGCCACGACUUGAUCCGAAACCCCCUCACGAUGACCCUCCGUUAUCCGGGUGGGUAUUAUAUCGGUAGAAACUUUACUUAUUACUCCCUCUGGCCAACAUUCCACCCUCUCGGAUCCGUAACCAAACACGCACGAAAAGGGCGAUACUCGUUGAGUAUGCCGAACGAGACCUCAAGAGAUCAAGUUUUGAUUUUUGAACACGCACGAAAAGGGUGAUACUCCACGAGUAUACCGAACAAGAUCUCAAAAGAUCAAGUUAUGUUUUGUUGUUCCCUUGGCUUAUCAAGCUUCUCGACCAAGCCCAUGCCGGCUCGAGUUGCAAGAUUGGCUAAGAGAAUUUGGGCGUCCCCAUAAGUCGAGGAGUUUCACUCCACCCGACAACACAUCACGCACGACAUGCAUGGCAAGCAUAACACGCACGACAACACGACAUGUACACGAAAACGGGUAUAUUUUAGCCGACGAGGUUCACUCAAAUCGACUUCGAAAACCAAGUUAAUACAAGUAAAGUUCAAAUAAAGGAGAGCGAGUGCGAUAAAGUACACACUCGUCUCAUCAAGUGAUAUUCACGUAUAUAAGCAGGUAAACCAAGUAUACACGACAAGUCAUGCACUUGACACUCACAAUUCAAGAGUAAUUGAGCGAGAGAAUCAUUAGUUGUCCCCUCCGGGAUUUUCUUCAAGACUAGCUUGAGCACCUGAAGCAAUUGACAAGUAUUUUUCACUCAUAAUCACGCAUUAAUCAAGGAAGGAGUUACACUCAUCCAGACUUGUCACUACCUCAAAUCAAGAAGCUUAGCCACUAAAAAAAAAAUAAAGGUUCAAAAGUGAGGUUUUAUUAACACAAGAAAAAAAAUAAUUUCCUUCAUGGAAUCAAGUUUAAAGUGACCAAUUAUCAUUAAAAAGGAAUAACGGUUUUCAAAAUUUCAUUUUCUAAGAAAUCGGCAAAUUUCAGCUUUGCACGUCAAACUUAGAAAAAUCAAAUCUUGUACUCAGUAGGUCCAAAAUUGGAAAACUUGGUACCAUUGGAAACUACUUCCAGAGUAUUAAAAGUUCCCAGAAGACACUUUUUCACAAGUGUAAGUGAAAGGCACUCAAAUUUUUGACUCAAAGUUGGUAACUUGAAUUACCAAAAUAGAUUUAAGUUGGUUUUUGGCCAACUUUGGAAAUUCGGUAAAAUUCACUUGUUUGGAACUAGCUUUUGAAAUUUGGUACUCUUUUAGAGUUGCAAUCCAAGAGUAUAACAAAAUGAAACGGAAUGAGAAAUGGAGUUUUGAAUAUUAAGAUAUGGCAACUCAAAGUUACCAAGAUUCCCUUGUGAAACAUGGGUUUUUCAAGCUCGAGUCAUGAACUUUGGUAAUUUAUUUGACCCAUGAAACGGUUCUCGGAAUAACAUCAUAAGUGGCAGUAUAAAACUACCAUAUAAGGGUUGUCCCUCUACCAAAUUUCAUAGGAAAAUAUACACGGGAAGUCACUUAACAAAAUCACUCAAGUUUCCAAAAUUUUAAGGCAAAGCUGCCUUGUAUGUGAAAAUUUCCUUUUCUAAACUUUUGACCAAGGAAAAUCCUCUAAACAUGGUUCAUUUGCAUAGAAAAGGUUUAAGGGUCAUCCCAGAACAACAUUUGUGGUGAUUAACACCAAGAGAUUUAAUUCGCAAGUCUACACCGAGCCUUGCAUCAAAUCUGUCCAAAAAUCAGGGUUUUCAAGGACAGAGCAGGUUUCCUAUUUUGAUCAUAGAUCACUCAAAUUAACUAGGAAUUUCGCAUGGUUUAUGGCGUUGGAAAACACAUUCAUAGAGCUAUAAUUUCACAGAAGAAAUUACUUUGAAAUUCGGCACACAACUAGCUCGAAUUCGAGCCACAAGUUGCAGCCUCAUCAUUUUGUUCUUGUAAAACAGAGAAACAGGACAGCCAACUUAAAAUGGUUGGUUCGGCUCACACACAUGGAACCAGAAUGUGCAUUUUAUACCGUCGGAAAGGUUGGGAUGUCUAGUUUCAAAUGCCACUGAUGGCACUUAAUUUCGACAUCGGAGCACAGAUUUAUAGCCGAAAUACGGAAGCUGGUCAGAGUAUUACGGAAACAAUUCCAGAUUUACUAGCUUUGUGAAAUCAUUUUAUUUGACCAACCAAAUCUCAAUAUUUUUCAAUGAAACUUUGUACACCACAUAUUUAACAUAUAAACAUAAUAUACGAGUCAUGAAACCCUCAAAAUUCUACAAAAAGAGGUCCGAUUAAAACAGGGCAAAACUGAACAUUUUUGAACUAUGCCUCACUUGAAGUCUAGACUAGCUAGGUAUCUUCAAUCUACUUAUUUAAACACUAAACUAGCAUUAUAUUCAUCAUCAAUCAUUUCAUCAACCAUCAAUUCAAGGGUGUGAGUUCAUAGAGCCCACCAUCAAAAUUUUCCAACGUGAAAUAAAACGAAUAACAUGUAAUUUUAGCAAAUGGAUCCACCACAGCAAAUCUGUCAUCGGCUAAACAAAAUUUCCAGCAACUAAAGUGGUCCUAACACCGAACUUCCUUGAUUAAAUCAGUGGAUUAUGUACUCAAAUCCAACAUGCAGAUGCUUGACCAACUGAUUAACAUUUCUAGCUCAAAAUUAAGUUCAAACACGGCUAUAAUUAUCUCCAAAAUUCGAGAAAUUUUCCAGCUAUCCUCGGAUGAUCAUGCAUGCAGCAGAUUUAUAUUUCAUUUUAUUUUCUGAUUUAAACCCAUUAAUUAACUACAUGCAGAGCUUAAUUAUCUUGUUAUUAACUAGUUAAUCAUGAUGCUAAGCUCAAAACAACAAAAUUAAACCAAAUAAAGCUGCAUUAUUCAAGUCAAGUUCUCGGCAGUCCAAACUUGCGCACAUAACAGAAUUUCUUUUCCUAAACCACUCAUCCGGAUGCUUAAAAACAACAUGCAUGUUCCUAGAUGGCUUAAUCUACUUGUUUUUGAUUGGUUAAACACAUAAUUAAGCUCAGAUUGUCACAAGUAAAUGAAUCAAGAGCUGCAUUAUCAAUUCCUCUCUCGGCCGAAACAUUUUUCUUCCAAACAGAUUUUCCUUUUCUUCCUCAUUUCAUCAUCCGAGCAUAUAAUCCUCACAUGCAAGUCCAUAGCUUGCUCAUUCAACCUCUGAUUAACCAUUUUCAGUCCAGAAAAUUUACCUCACCCAAGGCUCACUUGCGCGUCAAGGAAGCUGAAGUUUUUUCCUCUCUCGGCCUCGCGUACAGGUUUGGUUCUGGUUGAAGCUGCAGCUGGAACUGAUGAAAUGCAGCUUGAUUGAAGUUGAAAAUGACCACAGCUAGGAGAGGGAAGGGUGUAGGAUCGGUUGUUCUCACGCGGUGGUCUCCUGGUUUCUUCCCUCAGCUCGCGGACAGAACAGAAAAUUUUUGCAGCUCGCGGUUUCUCCUCUUUUCUUUCCUCUUCGAUACUCACGAGGUAAGUCUCUCUCUCUCGUUUGUUCUUGGUCCGAAACAGAAUGGAGUUGUGGAGUGGAGUUGCGGUUUUGAGGGAGGUUGAGUGUAUGGGAGGAGAAAGGAAAUGUAUCCGGCAGUAAAUGGAAAUGGUAUGCGGCAGAAAUGGAAGUGUUGAUUCUCUUGUGAUUGGCCGAAUGGUGAGGUGAUUGUGAUGUUGUCCGAGAAAUUUGUUUUGUGGCUGCAUGAUAAUUUGUGAGGUAGUGGAGGGUAGUUUAGUCAUUUCACUUGUCCUCUUAACCUCCACUUAAGUCCUUGAUUCUAACUUAAUUCCAAAAAUUAUCCCCAAUUGUGAUUUGGAACGCCUAAUCAUACACUAAUCUUACAAGACUUUAAUUAUCGAAAUUUUCACGCCUUAAGUAUGUUUAGUAUACUAGUAUCAUGUUUAUCUAAAAUUCAUUGGUUUUCAUCUUAACUCGAAAAUUCCUAUUAGCACUUAACGUUAUUAACUAUUUAAGUUAAUUAUUGAAAUUCGAAUAAUUUAUAUCAAGGUAGAAGAAUUAAUCCGCUCAAGCAAUAUUAAUUUAGCAUAAUGGAAACUAAGUACUUUAAUAUUUUAUGUUGAGGCGAUAAAAUUAUCCUAACUCCAGAGGUAUUAAUUUAGUCUAGCAAAACCAAGAAAUUUUCACAACUUAGAAAAAUUAUAUUAUUUUCAGGGUUCCCACAGGGAGCAACUUAUUGCAUGGAUGAGGCACUAAACAACUCGUGAAGGACAGCUUUGGAAUUUUGCGUGACACACAAGUUCUCAUCUUUUAACAUAUGAGUCAGCAAACAAUUGAAUUCCCCUUCAUGAGGGUUACUCGAACUGGCACAAAAUGAAGUUGACAAAUUGAACACUUGGCCACCAACUUUUGGACGUGUGAAUAAGCAUGAAAGAUCACCACUUUAGCUGGAAUAAGCACUAAAUCUAGUUGCAAGUUUUUCAUCAAAGCUAAAAAAUUUUGGAUAGCUUUACAACCUACGAGAAUAAAAUAACCUUCAACUUGAAACAAAUCAGAAAUUGGAUAAAGAAGCAAAGGAACAUCAUUAGCUAAAUGGAAAGAAGGUAUAGAACAAGAUUUAAAUGCGAAAAAUCCUUUUGACACUUCAUCAUUCGUUCCACAAAUUGAUUCAACUUGAGGAAGCAUUGCUGGCUUUUUACACUUUCCUUCAAAAUCUGCAUAAGAAAUACAUGUGUUAGGAUGGAAAUUAUGCUCAAAAGAAGGUAAAGAUGAUGAAUGAACCAUAGGUAGCAAAUGAGAAUCAAAAUCUAGAAUUCCCCCUUCAUGGUGAGGUUGAAUUAAUUCCCCAUUGGUAUGGACAGAUUUGAAUUGAAAUUGUUCAAUGAAGUGAUCCCAAAUAGAUUUAACUCCUAAAAGACAAACUCCAUGGAAACUAAUGAAUUGUACAAGUGACUUUGGAAUGGAACAUGGCAUGACUAACUUCACUUGACGUUGCUUAAUUUUCACAAAAGAAGAAACACUAAACAAAGGAAAGGUAAGCUGGUUAGGAAAGCAAUAAGAUCGCACAUUCUCACUCAAAAGUAGCUCACUUGAUUUUGCACUCAAUUCAUCAAAAUUUCCCAUCUCUUUUUCUAGCUCAAUGCCCUCGAUUGUUUCCUCAUUAGCAACCUCCUCAACAAAUGGUUCAAUAGGAUGAGAUACUCCUUUGUUAGGAGUAGACUCGGCUACCUCCUCAUUAAAAGACUCACUUUGAUGGCAUCUAUUUGACUCCAUUUGUUUUUUGUGUAGAAGAUGUUGAUAUGUCUCCCAAAAUGACUCCUCAUGAGAUGGUUCAACUCUAGGUUUAGGCCUAGGAGAUGUUGAAUGAACCUUCUUAUCACCUCUUGUAUAAAUCGGCUUUAAAGAGGUAGAUUGCAUGGAAUCCCUCCCCUUGAGAGAUUCAUUCUCACGCUUAGGUUUAUGUUUGUAUUCCCUCAACCUUUGUUCCCAAUCUUCAAACUCGGUGUCCACAUUUGAAUCACUAAACUCAUUUAAAGGUUGUUUCCCUCUAGAUUUCUUAGGGGAACUCUUUGAUGAAUCCAAAUGAUCCAUUCGCUCAUGUAGGGAUUCAAUGUUAAGGUCGAACCUCCUUUGAAAUUCUACCCACAUAGCAUCCAUUUUUAGUGCAAGUUGGGCAAUGGUAACCUCAUUUUCAUUCGCCAUGUUUAAACCUGCAAAACAACAAACAAGUGAAUAGGAAAACACCUCACUCACGUGUUUCACUCAUGCUCGUGUAUCACUCAAGUGUAUUUUAACACUCUAGUGAUCUCACCAAUCACUUCUCAAGUCUCUUGAUUGCCUCUCUUGAAGAAAUCAGAAUUUUCUGAAAGAGAUUCAAUCAAACUUUCACCAAGCUUCACCAAGAAUGUAGCGAUUAUGGGCUGGAGUUUCUGGAGGGUAGUAGCUGAUAUAUAUUGACUUGAAAAGGACUAAAAACGAGCUAGAAAUUGACCAGGUUUGGCCGCUAGACUCAAUAUUUGGAAACUUUUGGACCUUGACUAGUGACUCAAAUUAGGAAACUAGGAAAUUAAGUGGAAGCCAAGACUGAUUUGGACUACCUUUGUGACCCUUUAGAUGCUAUUUAUAACCUGGAAUGACACCUUAAGACACAAUUUAGGUGGCUGGACAGAUUACACAAACGACCAAAACAAAAACAAGGGAACGACAGAAAUUUUGGAAGCCUAGAAGUUACUCUACCUGAAGUGCUCCUUGGCUGGUGUUUUGGAAGUUUAAUCAAGGUUCUUGGGUUUGUUUUUUGGAAAGUAGCUGCUGAUUUGAGAAGGUUUUCACGUGUGCAAGGAUUUGACAAAUUUGAAUUUGGUAGUUGAGUGUGACUAGGAAUUGUUUUCAAUCCCAAGUCUACUUGGUUUCCCAAAAUCAGAUUGCUUUCUUGUUUUUACUUCAAGAUUGAUCCGAAUGUGUUUCUUUCUUUUCUUGCGUUUCUUCUUUAUUUUUUUCCACACAAAACAGAUUUGUCCUUUUUUUUCACUUUAGAUCAAGGCUCAAAGAACCAGAUUCGGUCUCAAGUUAUGCACAAGAUUAGUCUCAACUUCCUUUGUUCAAGAACAAGAACUAAGGUUUGUCCAAGGUUCAAGAUUUGAUCAACUUUGAUUUCAAGAAUUCAAGAACCCUAGAUUGUCAACCCAAGACUUCAAGAUUUGUCCAAGAAAUUCCAGAAAUUCAAUCAUGAAACUUCAAGACUUUGGUGUACUUCCAAGAAACAAGAGAACCAACCACUUAUGAUUCAAGAAACACAAAAUCCAAGUUGUCAAGAAAACCCUAGAUUAAAUCUCAGAUUUUCCAAGAAAAACAAAGACCAAAAAAUUUUUUUUGGAUGAACAGUAAUGGUGAAUAGUAAGCUAUAGUAGCGAUGAACAAUAUCAAUUUUUUUUACUCUACUCGAUUUCAAGACUCAAGAACAAAAUCACAAGAACCAACAAGAUCAAAACACAAUGUAAAUAGAUUUGGAAGUUCAGGCAGCAAGCAACAAGACACAAAACAACAAGGAAAACCACGAAAUCCUAGUGACUCUAAGAGUGUAAGACACGACCAGAAUUUAUAACAAGAAAAACUUACUUGACACGAACAAGAUAUACAUGAAUUCGUCAACUAGCUCUAAUUACCAAGCUGAUACGAACCCUCGAAGGUGUGAACUCGUAUCCCACACGGCUCGGAUCUAGACAAAGAAAUCAAGUUUGCGAAAUAACACUUAACCCUUCUAAAUCCUUAGAUUGCGAAGCUCAAAUUGAAUCUCAACCCACAAUCGAAUGAUUUAGUGAACCAAUGUUGUUGGUAGAAGAAUGCUACAACCAAAGUGUGUACUUGAUUGAUAAGUUCUAAUUGAAUAACUUAAGAAAACUCUCAAGUAUUCAAGAGGGGCUCUCUUGGAGCAAAAGAAAAGUGAUAACUCACAUAUUUUUGAAAAUUCUCAAUAAUAAUAAACAUUGGAAAGACUAGGCUAUUUGUAACCUUACAAUGACUCAAACCCUAAAGUGAUUUGGACUAAAAAUCCAACUAAGAUUCAGCCUCUUUGAGGACUAAUCUGGCCGAAUAUUAACUCUAUAAUUAAACCAUAAAACAGCAACUAAAUUGACAAUUAAACCCUUCACUUGACACUACCAAUAAGCGACAUCACUUACUAACAAAACAACUAACUAAACUAACUUGUUUCUACUCUUUAUGAAUGACAACAAGUUGUAGUGAAGUAACACCACCAAUUCAGCUUGAAAUAAUCUUUAUAGAUUUGGAAGGGAGCCGGUUCUUCAUGUUUGCAUCACAUUUGGUUGUGAAAUGAUAUCUGAAUCUUGAAAACCGCCCCUACUACCUUUUGGCUUUAGGUGAAAUUUAUUCUCGUAAACUAUAGUUGUUUUUCAUUUAUUUUUUUCUCUUCUUACUCUUUUUAUUUCUUUAUCUCUCUUCUUUUAUCUAUUUCUUAAUCUUCAUUGUCCAACUCUCUUUGGCCACUUCCAAGCUAUUAUAGUAUCACCAAUAAUUGAUCAAUCAGAAGCUCUAGUUUUAUACAUGUAUCUAAAUAAUCUAAGUUUUAGAUGUGUGGUUUGUGACAUAAAUUACGAACUAACAAGAACCUACGACAAAAGUAACACAAGAUUGCAUGAUUAAUUAUUAGUAAUGAAAAUUAACAAAAAAAAAUAUACAACAAAUCAAAAGAAUGAGUCAAAUAAACUUUAAAAUGCUAGAUUCCUAAUACAAUAAAUAAACAUUGUUUGUAUAAAAUAAUUUUUAUUUUAAAAUUAAAAUACUUGAAUAAAAUUGUAACAAUUAAUGCUUCUGAUUAAUUAACUAUUAAUACUAAUAUAUUCCUUAGUUGUGUAAGAGAGAAAGAGAACAACAAUAAAAAAAGAAAUAAAGAAUGAGAGAGAAAGGAAAUGAAAUGAAGAAGAAGGGAGAAAAAAGAAAAUGAGUACAAAGUGUAAAAAUCAAAAGGCAAUUUUAUUGGAAAGGGUUUAAAUGACUUAUAAAAUUCAUUUGAGAGGAGCCGUAAAGUGCAACAACAAUGAUAAUUCAAGGGAUCAAAUUACAAUUAACACCAACUCCUUUCGUGGGUAUAUUCAAAAAAAAAAAAGAAUUGAAUCUCCUUCCCAAGGGUAUUACACUUGGAUAGACUACAUUUUCAAAGACCUAAUGGCUCAAAUUGUGCUACAUCAUUUCACCAAGUGGUAUGGCACAAUCUGAGAUAUUAGGUUUGAAAACUGAUUCUACCCAAGUUUUGGCCAUAUUUGCCUUCUAAUUGCUAAAUGAAAUAUUUUCUUUUCACUAAGCGGUUAGUGAAGCCAGUUAAGCUACGGAGAUGUGGUGUGCUACAAUUGAUACCAAACAUUGAGUAAACUACAAUUGAUACCAAAUGUUGGCGGUGAGGGGGGAAUACUACAAUUACCCCUCUUUAGAUAGAUAGAUGAUUUCUUGAUUCUAUCAAAAUUAUCAAGAUUUCAGUUUGGAUCGAUCCACCUCAUUAUGUACUCUCAUAGUGGUGGAGCUAGGACAUCAUGAUGAGAUGGUGCAAUGGUCAAUUUUAGUAUAAAUCAUGCUCUUAAAUUUAUAUAAGAAAUACACUAUGUACUUUGAUUUGAGUGGCCAAAUCCUUUUUCCCCAUUAAUGUGUCGUCAAUGUUUAAUUUAGAAUAAGUUCAAAAUUUUUGUUAGAGGAGGUAAUCAAUAAAAAAAUAUUUAUAAAAAUCAAUAAAAAAAUCUUAUUUUCUAGGGUUCCAAUGUAUAAUGAGGAAAUAUAUAGAUGUUCAGAGGAUAAUCUAUGUAUAGAAAGAAAUUUUUUAAAAUCUAGGGGGAGUAAUGCAACUAAAGAAGAAAAUUUUAUAAAAUUUAGGGGGUGAAAAUAUAAUACAAACUUAAAAAAUUUUAAAAAGUUUUAAGAUCAAUAUAUAAUUUUAUCAAAUUUGAGAGAGGAGGGGCAAUUGCCCACCCUCAAAGUGGCUCCGCCGCUGUACCCUCCACCACUUAGCUAGGGAACAACACAUCCAUGUGAUCAUAAGGAUUCCGUUUACAUGCAAUUUCUAGGGCAUAUAUAUAGGACAUCCCUUAUAUUUUUGUGAAAAACUCUUGAGCUCCCUCGUAGUUUCUCAGAUAAACAUCACUUCACUUGUAUAAAAAAAAAAAUUGCAAUUGUAAUUCUUACCAUUUGGACACUUUACCAAAAUAUUCCCCAAAGUUUUACCGAUGACAUUUUUUAUUGCUAAAGUUUUCAAUUUUUAUCAUAGUGCUCCCCAGAACUUGAACGAAAUAAAUUUGGAAUAAAAUUUUCUCAAAUUUGAACAUAAAAAGACAAUUCUAAAAGAACUUGGCAAAUUGCUGCAACAAUAAAAUAAAAGACUUAGGAUCAUCCAAGGUUCACUUUUCAUUGUUGUCAAAAAAAAAAUUCAAGUUUUGAAGAAAAAAUUGGAAAUUGGAAGUUCAACUUCUAUCAGAAUGGAAAUGAGAACUAGCUGAAGAUUGAUUUAUAAUGGAACUUGAAGAUAUCAAAUUAUAUUCAUUAUUUUGAUUGGGGUCUACGAGACUUUCAUAUGACUAUCACCGUUAGCAAUUACCCAUAGUCUUUCAAUUGUUCAUUGCGUUUUGAAAUUGGAAGUAUCACCGACCAAAUUCUACUAAUUGCCCAUUUGUUGGCAAAAAAUGAAAAGCAUUGUCGACUAGAUCACUUUUCACUAAAACAUCAGCAAUAAUUGUAGUGGGGUACCAAAACCUCAAAAACUAGGAUGGUUAAUCAAACUUUGCCCCCACCGAACAAAUGGGUUAGCCGUACUAUAUCACCCUCAAUUUUAGGUAUAUACUCUUUACCCCGUCAAGUUAUUAGAGUUAGCGAUUUUUAAUGGAGAGGUAUGAUGUCCUCUUUUUAUGUGGCUGGAAUACCCUUGCAGGGUAAAGUGCAUAACAUAAAUUUCUAUGAUAAUAUAAAGUCUAACCGCAUAGAAACAACGGAUAAUUGCAAAAACCUCCUUUGAGGCUUCUAAUAGUUGCACUCACCUCUUUGAGGUUUUGAAAAUAGCACUAACCUCCCCUAAAUUUAAGGUUUUGAUAGCAGAUUCAGCCUAUGUCAAAGAAAAUACCAUUACAAAAAUCUUUUGAGAAGUGAGAUAAUAAUUUUGUUCCAUUUGUACCCUUUUUGUAUCUUGUGAGGUUGUGAUAGUAAAACAUGGAAAUAGUUAGUGAAACUGAAGAGGAUAUAAUGGCAAAGAGAGCAAGUGUAGUAGCAAUAACUAGAAGAAGUAAUGAACACACGUUCAAAAAUCUGAGGUUCUAAAGCAUAUAAAGUGUACAAUCAGCUCCAAAAACUCUCCUUUACUAAAGAAACAUUUUGUAAUAAGUUGAAAUGACAAAGGAUUGCUUACUUAUUGUUUUCUAAUUGCCGCAAAUUUUUUAACAAAAAAAAUUCUUAGACUUUGCCUUGAUUAAUACUUUCUUUCUCAUUCCGUUUCAUGAAUGCGUAAGAUAAAGUGAGUUCAAUCAAAACCACCAGAACUUAUUCUCAUAUGGAGUUUUGUCCGGAGGUUUCUUUCCCCUACUUUUUUUUUUGCUUCUGCUUCUCUUCUAUGUAAAUAAUAUACAACUUGGAUUGUUCUCUCAAGUAUUGUUAAUGACAAAAUAACGUCAUAUUAGAGUAUCAAUUGGUGCCAUUUUGUGGCAAUUGACGUUUUGUAAGUGCACUUAUAGUGUCUAAUCAGGCAAGAAAUAACUGUUAAUCUUGUUUAAUUAGUUAUCCUGAACUUGUUUAUUGCCCUAAUUUUUUUUGCCCCAAACUUGUUUACUAACAACCUUAAACUCUAAGGAUAUAUAAGUAAAUUCACCCUAUCCUACGUCAGUUAUAGGCCCCAAAUUCUUGUUGGGGGAGGAUAGUGCUUUUUCAAAACCUCAGAGGUGGUGAGUGCAACUGUCACAAACCUUAGGGGAGGUUUCUGCAAUUAUCCCUAGAAACAAUAAGGGGUAUAGUGCAAUUAAUCUACCAUUUUCAACAUUUCAAUUUAAUAAAUAUGAACCAAUUGUACAGUUAUAAUGUUAUUUAUAAUGCUUCAAGCCAAUUUACAUUUUGAUAGUACAAAUUCUCAUAGAUUUGUGUGAAAUAAAUUUCAUAGAAUUCUACUACAACAACAUCAUUUUAUUAAAAAAAAUUAUGAAUCUUAUUUUUAUAAUUCUACUUUUUAGAUAUAACUAGUACUGGUUGCCUUUGUUAACUUUUGUUCACAAUAAUUUGUAAUAACCUCAUUUACCAUAAUGUCUUUUGAAAUUUUUAAUGUUAGCCUUCAAAGAACAACUUAGGCUCCGUUUGAUAACACUGAAUCUGAAUACUGAAAUAAUUAAUUUGCUGAAAUUUAAGUACUGAAAAGAGAUAUAUGAAUGUCUGAAUCUUAAUGCUGAAUCUAUUUAUACUAUUUGAUAAAUAAUCAUAACUUAAUGCUUAAUAAGCUAAAUUGUACAAUUUUGCCCUUCUAUCUUUUAAUCCAAAAAAGGAAAUAGAACCUAUGAUUUAAUUAGCUUAAAAUUGUUAGGUAUGAAAAAGACAAUAUUUAUUUUUAAAUCAAAUUAAUAUAAAAGAAGAAAUAUAUUAUGCAAAACAUUAAAAGAAACAUUACAAUCCAAUAAUUCAUAUAACAUCUAAAUUCGACCUAAAAAAUUUGGAAAUGAUUGUUUGAAUAGAGAAUAUCAUAUUGUUUUGUUUAAUUAGAUAAGGAUUUUGAAUAGAGAAUAUUAGGUUAUUUAAUUAGAUAAGGAUUUUGAAUGUAAUUAACAAACAGUGAUAGAUUUGGUAGAUAAGAUAAAGUAGUUGAAGUAAAUCUCUUGAUUCUUAUCAAAUUAAGCAUUCAGUUACGAUUCUUGUGCUGAAAAAAAUACAUACAAAUUCAGCACCACUUAAUAAGUUCAGCAGGUGAAUUUUUAUUUAUCAAACACCCAAAACCUCUUAAUGUCUGAAUGAAUUUAGUUUCAGCACUUUUUUAUGUUGUCAAACAGACACUUAGAAUAGAGUUGUAUAGGAUAUUAACAAACUUGGUUUCAACAAAAUGUUAUAGGCAAAGUUUUAUCACCAAAUAUUUGGCUUCACAUUUUGCUAAAAUUCAUGUUCCAAAAGAGAAUAUCGAAUGAGAUAUAAACAAAAAAUGUGGUUUUAUUUGUGUUAAAAGACAUGGUUUUGCUUUUAAUACUUGGAAUAUUUACUGCAAAGUAAGAAAAAAUGUACUUAUUAAAGCAAAACAUUUAACCAAAUAACAAAAAUUGCCUUCGCGCAACUAAUAAUAUCUUCUAUGAUGAAUUACAAUUAUUUUAAAAGUACGUAAGAGUUUUGAUAUUUAAAAUCUUUGAGGAUGUUGUAUACCUAAUUUUGUAAAGUGUGAUUACCUUCAAACCAUGGAGGGUGGGAAGGAGGAAUAUGAUGAUCAACUCUAAGGAUAUCAAAGUCAUUUACUACUUUUUUUACAGCGUUAUUUUUGUUAACAUCUGAUUGGUCAACUGGAAGGGAGGGCAAAGAUGUAAUUUCGAAGUUGAGGGUCAUACAAUAUGGCUACCCCAUAUGUUUAGAGGGCCAAAGUGUGACUAACCCAAAUUAGAAAUGCUUGGCAUGGUACCUAAAGCUUGAGAGCCAAAACUGGCAAUUCUCCUCUCUAGAGUUUUAUUUCAAA